Molecule: long non-coding RNA, 52594 nt
Filed under: Fragaria vesca (wild strawberry)
Lineage: Eukaryota; Viridiplantae; Streptophyta; Magnoliopsida; Rosales; Rosaceae
Description: long non-coding RNA (FVES_LNC001844)
Source: RNAcentral
CCAUAUGAGGAAAAAACUGAAAGAUGAAUUGGAGGACAAGAACACAGUUCAAGAAUAUGUAUGCCCCAACUGUGGGAAAAGGUUUCUGCUGAUAGGUUCAUUUUGUUCAAUCUAUUGCAGCAAGGACAAAUUUGCAGAUUUUGUGUAGUGGCUAUGAGCCUAUGUCAUGCAGAUUUUGUGUAGUGGCUAUGAGCCUAUGACAACAUUUUGUAUAGUGGCUAUGAGCAUAUGACAAAUAUUUUGUUCAAUCUAGUGCAACAGGGGAAAAAUGGUAAAUUUGAGAUGAUAGUGUAAUUUUCAGAUGAAAUGAAACUGCAUUCUGUGUUUUUGCUCCAUUUCUAUUCAGUCUUAAAUUACUUGUAUUACUUGCAAUGUUUGUUGGUCUCAGUUCUCUCAUAAAUUCAAAGCUAUGAAAUCAAAAUGCAGCACAAACAUUCAUACUGUGAAAUGUUUCUUCAUUGAAAAUUUGAAAUGAUACAUAAUAUUUGAUUAGAAACACUAGUAAAUUGGUCUAUGAGUCUAUCUGACAUCUUCUUCUAUGAACUAAUCUGCACCAUUCAUUGAUUAUAAUGAAAGGUGACGAUUCUAGUUAAGUACUUCUCUUGCAAGUCUUCCAAGUUCCAACACUGAAAGAGAGUUCACUAAGUUCAGAGGUGAUCAAUAUUGCUAUGCACCAAACUAAGUUCAGUAAGGUCAUCCGGUUGAAAAGCUGGUGGGAGAGAUUUUGAUGGAUACCAACUCCAAUCUGCCUCUUCUAAUUCAGCCAAGCGUAACAAUAUGCCUUCAAUGCUUUUCAGCCUAACAAUAGAAUAGAGUAAAUCUUAUCAACUUCAAUCCAAAUCAUAAAACCAUAGUGAAAAUCAACUUUCAAUCUUUACACACUUGAAGAAAAUAGGACCCAUCUGUCCAAAGAGCUGCUUUAUCUUUGGUGACAACAGCAGUGCCUGCACUCCCAGUGAAACCCGAUAUAAAUGUCCUCCUCAUGUAACAUUUAGCAAUGAACUCGCUCUGAAAUCCAUAACAAAAACUUAAGACCUAUAUUCAACAAUCACAAGAACAUGCACAAAAGUGAGAUUCAAUCUCUAAACUAUAAUUCAAAGGGAAUAAACAUAAGCCAGCAGCCAAUGCAAUCAAACUACACAAAUGAGCUCCAAUGAGCUCUUAUUUCACAAUCUCAUUACCGAAAAACAGUAAAACCUGGCUGAUUUAAUCCUCAACAGUUAGUAGCACAUCAUAACUCUCAAACUUGUGCAAUGUAUUACUAGAACUCAAGUCAAAUAAUAUCAUAUGUAAUGUCAUGUUGAGUUAAAACUGUGCUAAAUUAAGUUCACUCAACUGCACAGCUCAUCAGAUAAGAAAAAGGUAAAAAUUGCACAGUUUGCAGAAGUGUUUGAGCUCCAUAUAUUAAGUUGCGAUUUGGAGUGGUGAAGUAAUCUUUACUGUUGGGGAUUUUAAAAGGAGUUCCUUCAGUACUUUCCAGACCAGGACAUGAGGGCUGGAAUCUACAGGAAUAUUUUUUCAUGCAAUUCAUACUUCAGGUUUGGUUCUGGAUGAUGCUACUAGACCAAGGUUUGAAAAGGCCAAAGUUUAUGGCAAGGUCAAACUUACAUCUUGGAUCACAGCUCAUGGAAAACACAACAGUUGUCAUAUACUUCAGAACAAGAGACAACAUAUUGCCUAUCUCCAAGCAGGAAAUCAUCCACAUCACAAAGACACAUCAGUUCAACAGGAAUGAGUACUAGAGAAAAUGAACAAAUUUAUCAAUUGUUAAACAAAUCCACCAUAUCAUGUAUAAUACCAACUUUGGUGUAUAGUCUAUCACACACCAAUUGCUUAAAAACACUUUUUGUUCCAUGCAAUUCAUUUCUGAUCAACUAUAGGUAUAGACCAUGAUAGAGUAAAACCAAAGCUCCUAGUUUUCAAACAACACCACAAAGACUAAAACUACACAAAUCACAACUAGCAUUUCACACCAAGCUAGAAAUGAAUCCAAAUUUCCAACAGCAAAUAAAAUCGAAACAAGGCUUGAAACUUUUUGAGGCUGAAAGCUCAAAAACUAGCAAAAUCAAAACACAAACUUUCAUAGUAUCAAAACGACGUAGUUUUAAACCUUCUUGAGAUGGGAUGACGUAAGCGUCGAGGCCGACGCCGGGGAAGAGGUUCCGGAGAGCUCGGAGCUUGGCGUCGGAGGAGUCGAAAGCGGCGGAGAUGGAGGUGCAGCUGCGGAUGGAGAAAGUGGGGGGCUUUUGGGAAAUAGAGAGCAGUGACGGCGGAGGGAGGCAGAGCGAGCGACGGAGGAGGGAGGCGGAGCGAGUGACGACGCCAGAGAGAGAGAGCGACGGCGGAGGGAGGCAGACCGAGCGACGGGUUAGAGAGAGAGUGCGGGGGCGACGACGGCUGAGAGAGAGAGAGGGCUGUGGUUUGAAAUCGAUUUUGAGGAGAAGAGGGAGAGGUUUCCUUAAUGAGAGGGCUGGUUCGAAAUCGAUUUUGAGGAGAAGAGGGAGAGGUAAAUGUGAAAUAGGUCUCUAUUUUAACUAGAAAGAUCUCAGCCAUUGGUUAAAAGUAAAUGGCUGAGAUUAAUUCAUGAGGAGAUAUGAGGACCCUCUCAUGAGGAGAGGAUCCGGAUUCGAUAAUUAUUCAGUAAAAUGAUGUGGAAUUGAAAAAUUUAUUUUGAGAGAUUGUAGUAGGGUUUGAACCAGUACAUUAGUUUUUCUUGUGUAUGAAGAGUCAUUUUCAGUCCAAUAUACUGUGCUUUUGGUUAUGAAAGUUUGAUUUUCGAUGACAACCUAGGACUAUGGUUGGUUCAGUUUUGUUACUUGUGAUUGAUAUCUUUGUGUAACUGUGCUUCAAGUUUGUAAUUUCCUUUUCACAUUUCAAAUUAUGCAGGAAUUCUAAGGGAUAUGACUUGGCAAAAAUGGUUUAACUCCAAAUUUACACAUAUAUCUCCAGUCUGGUAUGAUCUGAAGAGGUAUACUUCCAGUUUUCUUUGUCUUAUGAAGUGAGAUGAGUAGUUGGUCUUUUUCCUAAACAAUAAAAGUAAGUAUUAAAUUCCUUCCGUUUCAUUACCAGUCAAGGGGCCAGCUUAAUUCUGGAAGGCAGACAUAACGCUGAUAUUGGGUACGGUGGAUCUCAGACUUUAGACGGGCAGGAGACGCAUGAGAAGGGUGUCAACUGAUGUAGAAUGAAGAGAUUUUGAGUCAAGUAGAUGUCAUUGUAUGAUGAUUUUGGUUGAUCCAUUUAGUUUCCUUGAUUUGUAAUGUUGAUCUGCAAUGUUGAUGUAUUAUUUUUGGAUAUCUAGAGCUGAAAUGGUGUAAACUGCAAGAAUCAUGUUUGGGCCCGAAAUAAUUCCUGAAAGGCCGAAAAAAAAAAUUCAGGCCGGGCUUAAAAACUGAAAAAGCACGACCCGACCCGACCCAAUUUUUUCGAGUUUCGGUCGGGUUUUCUGAAAACCCGAACCGGCCCGACCCGAGCCCAGCCUUAGUUUCAACAUUUGUUCCAUCAAAUUUUGUGUUCCCCCUACAAAUUUGAGGCUGAAUUUGGGAGAAUGUUGGAGGGAAACAUUGGCAGACAAGGUUUUGUUGAAAAUACAUACUUUCACACCAUAAUUUUUUUACAAAACGUGGUAUCACUCUUACAUGUUGCACACCUUACAAUUUGGGAACCUGGUGCUCACAUUUUUACACAUUCACACCACGAUUUUAUAUAAAACUGACAUCCAAAAAGCUAAAAAUUAAUCACACAACGGGUUAUCAUUAUACGAUAGGCAUUGUCUGAAACUGUUUUUUAGUAGUGACGUGGCACUAAUUAAUAAUGAAGCGUGUAACUGCUAUGUGUCGAACGGAAAUAGCAUUUGCCCUACCCUGGCCCACUUAACAUGGACCGCCUAGCCGUGCACGUUUCCACCUAGCCCGUACAAAGCCCAUUUCACAUUAAUUUUUAACUUUUAAAGGAUGGACCCUGGCCCAUUUUGGCCCACUAAGCAUCGACCGCCUAGCCACGCACUGUUUCCGCUAGCCCGCAAGAAGCCCAGCCUACAUUAAUUUUUGUUUUGGUUGAAUGGGGCCAUUUCGUAGGGUUUUGUAGCUCUUCUUCAGUGGGUAAGGGUUUUGUAGCGAUCGUUCUUCUGCAGUUGUGCUUCUAUUAUUAUCUAUGAAAAUUCUGUUCACAAAUUCCGAGCAAACCUUCCAUUGUACUGGGUUCAUGUUCCUAAUUAACUCGAUUUCUUACACACUUUGUUCUUAUGUUCAAUGGUGGCUGAACUGCAGCUGAUAGAAUCAAGUGACACGUUUGAGAAGAAUUGUUGCUAGCACCAAGAAAAGCACGAAUCGCGGCCAAUCUUAAUAAGAUGUUUCCAGAAUAUAGAUUUAUAUAUAUAGUAAACGUUGAUGAAACAAAUUAAACAUAUGUGGAUGAUUGUAUUAAUUCAUCCUUAGCAAACAGCUAGCUAGGGAUCUGAUUUGGAUCUCUAACAGAAAUUGAUUAAUGAACACUAGCUGAUUUCUAUUCUUUUUUUUCCCCCAUGAUCCGCAUUAAUAUUUUGCGGAGAUCGUUAAAGAAAAGCAUAAGAAAGAGCAACGUUAUCUAUGAGUAUCGGUAUCUAGAAAAGCAACGUUAAAGAAAGCUACAAGAAAGAGCCUGAUGAGCCUCAUCCUUUUCAUCCUCAUGCAUCGAUCUUUUCUUUCAGUGAGAUCGAGCUAGAGAAUCUGGACAGGGUCUGUUCCUCACGUCCUCACCAAACCAGAAAAACGCUAAUAAUCUUAGAUUGUGAUAUGCCACGAUCCGUCCUCGCAUUCUUUAUCUUUAAACUAAGCUUUUGACGUUCCCAUCAAUAUUGUGGCCAAUAUUCGAAUUGCUGAUGCAAAGCUUAGGGGAAUAUAGUUAGGGAAAUAUAGUCCUGCAGUCUUUUCGACCGAGGCGUCGACUUACAUAUAACUAAUGUGUUAACCCUAGAGUAAAGAGGUGUUCUGUGUAACGUAUCAUCAACAUGGCUUCUCUAUAUAGCUUAUAUAUUUUACUAUAGAUAAUUACUUAAUUUCUCUUGACAAAAAUAAUCAAGAGUUCAUUAUUAUAAAUAGUUCUGCUAUGUUUAUAUAUAGUAUAGGAUGUAAUACAGUGUACAUACAUAAUUUUCGAUCUGUUUUCAAGCGUUUGCUUUGUGUCCUUUUCAUGAUUGGAUUCGAUCCAAGAAGGAAAAGGAGGUCCCAAUUGGAUAAAUCCAACUAUUCUUUCCGACUCAGAAAAUAUUCGAGCUGCAAAAUCGAUACAAAAUGAAACACCAUGGCCUGCAGAUCUAUAUAUCAUCCUAUCAAAUUUCCAUGACAAAAAAUUUAGAAUUAAUGAUUACUAAUGGAAUAUUACACCCUAACCCUUAUAGGAAAAGUAACCUAAUUAAAUUUACUUGAUUCACCUGAUUUUUUACGAUAAUAAGCAUAUCAAAAUAAGCAUGCGAAUCUUUUUGUUACUAAUAGACAUGAAGCAGUUGUCUAUAUGUACAAGUGAUGUAAAAUAAGGCACACAACACCAAAAUGAGAAACAAAAACGAAGAACAAAAUGCAUAUAUGGCAGUAAUAUAAGCAAGGAUAUGAUGGAGCCUAUCUAGGAUAAGAAUUUAUGUGAAGCCGUACGUACCAAGGACACGUCUCUAUAUCUGUUAAAAUUCGACAAUGUGUGCCUGCCUUCAACUUCGAUUCUCCUUAGCUAGUGCAGCUUUGGAUAGCCGUCUAGAAAUGAUCGAUCAAAGUAUGUGAAAUAAAAAAACAAAUCGAACAAUCUUAUUUUCCUUCUUUAUCAAAACCCUUUUAGACGGUGCCAAUCCAUCAACUCUCACCCAUCUCCUAUAUAUAUACACUUCCAGGGCACUCCAUAACUCACAAACUCAUCAAAAACCUCACCAAUACACAUUCCUCUGAAAGCUUUAAUCUCUACUUCCUCUGAAUCUAAACACAUUUCACUUACCAACCCGCCGUUGCCAUUAGCAUACACUUCGCCUUCGAGUCAUUACAUUUUCGCCUUGUUUACCAAAAGAAAGCUGCUAGCUAGCAAUGGAGGCGGUGACAAAGAUGGCGUCCGAGAGACCAGUGGUGAUCUUUAGCAAGAGCUCAUGUUGCAUGAGCCACUCAAUCAAGACCUUGCUUUCCGACUUUGGUGUGAACCCCGCAGUGUAUGAGCUUGAUGAGAUGCACAGAGGGAGAGAAAUAGAGCAAGCUCUGUUGAGGCUCGGAUGCAGCCCAUCUGUGCCGGCUGUGUUCAUUGGUGGCGAAUUUGUUGGCGGAGCCAAUGAAGUCAUGAGCCUGCAUCUUAAGCGCUCUUUAAUCCCCAUGCUUAAGCGCGUUGGUGCAUUGUGGGUUUGAUCAAUCUCAUCAAGUUAACCAACACUACCAGGACAAGUACUUUAGCCGACGAAAAAUUUUCGUCGGCCUGUUAUCCUAAUUCGUCGGCUAAGACCUUAGCCGACGAGCCUUCGUCGGCUAUAGUGUCGUCGGGAAAGGGUCGUCGGUGAUGGCUUUAGCCGACGAAUCUAAAGACCGUCGUCGGCUAUUGUCCGACUUUAACCGACGAACUAUUUUUUGUCGGCUAUUGUUCCAGACUUUAGCCGACGAACUAUUUUCGUCGGCUAUUGUUCCAGACUUUAGCCGACGACGUCCUGUGUCGUCGUCUAUACUCUCAGACUUAAGCCGACGAACAGAAUAUUCGUCGGCUAAAGUAUAUAAUUAAAAUAUUUAAAAAUAACUAUAGCCGACGACAUAGAGUCUGUUUCGUCGGCUUUAGUAGUGUUUAGCCAACGAAACAUGCCAUAAUUCGUCGGCUAAACCCUUUGGAAAAAAAAAAAUACUAUAGCCGACGAAUUGUGGCAUGUUUCGUCGGCUAUAACGCCAUUCCAAUAAAAAAAAAAAUACACGAAAUUCUUAAAUUACCAUUCCAAGCAAGCUGCAAAAUACACCAAAACAAUUCCAUAUAUAUAACCAACAAGAAGCACAUAAAACUAUAUAAGGUAUCAACUACACAAAAUCUAGAUGGUCUAAAUCAAUAUCCGAAUUUGGGGCCUGCUGGUGAGGAGAUUGCAGCGGCAGAGGUAACUCUAUAGGCGCAGGCAUGGGAGGAGGUGGAAGUCCCUGAAGCUAGGCAGCUGUAAAAUCCUGGAAGUACUGGAACAUCUGCUGCUGCUGGGCCUGCUGGGCGGCAUGUAGGGCUCUAGUAUAGGCUCUAUAUUCGGCAAUCUGGGCGGCAUGAGCGGCAGCCUGAGCAGCCUGAGCGUCAGCCUGAGCGGCAGCCUGAGCAGCAUGAGCGGCAGCCUGAGCGGCUUGCUGUUCCCGUAGUCUCUCAACUUCCGACUCUAGCUGAGUCGUCCUGCUGUGGGUCGAGGCUGCCUUUCGUUGAAAUCCUGGAGUGGUCUUCAGGACCCCCUGGCCCUUCUUUCCUAGACCCCGGCAGUAGAAGUUGUUUUCUCGCGGUGGGAAGGCUGUGCCCAUGAUCCUCGCCCCAACCCUCGGAUCUGAAGUGUCGAUCCGGAAAAUGGCUUCGGACAUCUCUUCCUCCUGCCUGUCCGGCCAUGUCUCCCUCACUAUAGCACUCAUCACCUCGUCACUAGCCUCCCUCACAUUUGCCUAAUUGGAUAGGAAAAAAAUUAUUAAUUAACAUUUUGACAUAUAUAUAAGUAAAAUUAAAAAUUCCGUAAAAAGGAAAGAGUACUUACUAUAUCCUCCUGGGAGUCAGGAUAUGCCCUCUCGUACGUAUAGACGUACUGGUUGACCUCUGGAUGUUCCCUGGCCGCCUCGUCCAUGAAGACAGCGAACGGUCUAGAACCGGCAUGAUGGUUCCUUGUGUUGCGUUGCCGGUUCUGAGCGUUCACCCGGGAAACCGCCUUCAAAGAAAAAAGUAAACUAUUAGUAAAAUAUUUUAAAACGCACGUACUUAAUGAUAAAUUAACGAAUUAAUUUAUUUAAAUACCUGUUUACGAGGGUUGUUGAAUUCUGAUGUCAGAAGCCAACGCCACUUGUACUCUCUGUACUGGAACUCAGCAGGGGUAGCAGAACGUGCGUUCCCGUGCGUAGUCUAAUGGGUCCGCAACUCGUUCUUCCACUCCUUGUACCUACAGAUACAACAAAAAUAUUAGAAAUAUUAUUNNNNNNNNNNNNNNNNNNNNAAAUACCCUAAUAUUUUUUCGUCAGCUAUAGUAUGUAAUAAAAAAAAAUUAAUAAAGCCGACGAAAUAUUAGGGUAUUUCGUCGGCUAUAAGUUCUUUUAGCUGACGACUUCUAGUAUUCUUCGUCGGCUAAGACUGGUUUAGCCGACGACUUUUAAUAUAAUUCGUCGGCUAAGAUGGUUUAGGCCGACGAAUUAUGUUGUAUUUCGUCGGCUUAAGUAAAAAAAUACAAACCCUAAAACAGAAGGUUUAAACCAAACUAAUUUCCUGUUCAUAUAUCACCAAAAUUCAUAUAAAAUAACAGAAAUAUGAAUUCAACAUAUGUAAACUAGAAAUUAAGGUAAUACAAUCUUUUUUAUUACAAAUUAAUGUAUUACAUCCGAAGAAAUUAAAACUAAGGCUCGUAAUCGGAAUCAUCCGAUGAGACUUCUUCGGUGUCAGAAUUAAUUUCUGGUAAUCUAUGCAUUUCCUCAUCGCCAGAGUCUUCGUCUGUUUCUUGAUUUGGAUCAACAUCAAUAAGCCUUAGCUCUUCAUCACGAAUUCGCACCGAACGACUCGCUUUAAAAUUAUUAAGGCGAACGGUAGAGGAGUUAGGAAUACCUAUUGUGUUGGGCUCUUGAUACGCAACAUCUUCUUCCUGGUCUUCGGCCUCUCCAAGUGUAGCCGCCCGGUAAAUGUUUCGAGGGUGCACAAGGUUGACUACUUUCCACGCGUCACCCUUAGCAAGGUCAUCAAGAUAAAACACUUGUUUUACCGAUGUGGCAAAAACGAACGGGUCAUCUUCGUAAGAACUUGUAGCAGUGUUCACCGAUAAUAUUCCGUACUGAUCGGUCUUCAUGCUCUGCGGGCUAGUAUCAAACCAUCUACACUUGAAGAGGUGCACUGUCAUGCCUUCACUAUAAACGAGUUCCACCACUGAAUCAAGAACACCGUAAUAGUCAACUCCAUUCCGCCCACCAUGCACCAUCACCCCAGAAUUCUGUGUUCUCCGUCUGCUGUCUCUCUGUUCACAUAUAAAUUGCAAGCCAUUCACCUUGCACAUCGGAUAAACUCUUGAGAUUAUCGGCUUCAUCGCUAGAAGUCUUAGUUUGUGCGACCAAUUUGGGUGACCAUCAAAUUGAAUAUGGUUCAUCUGCAACCAACAAUUUAACAUUGUAAAUAUAGAUAAUUAUGCAAUAAACAUAAAUACGUACAUAAAUAUUGAAUUACGUACCCAGCCGCCAAAAUAAUUUGCGAACUCCCUGUUGUGGUACUCGAGAUCACCUUGAAUGUCUGGACAAUAUAGAUGGAUGUCUUUCCAGUAUUCAACUUCUGGACAGUUAAUCAAUACCCACUAGUGGGCAAUGACUAGCUCAUGUGGUUGCAACUUGUAGGAGUCUGGCAAAAUUCUAUAAACUUCAACAUCACUAGAGAGUAUGGAAAGAUUGAACUUCGGUGCAUCUACCGGCAUGGCUUCGUCUGUUUCUUUCAACGCUCCUAAAUACAACUUCAUGUAGGUGACGCACUCGUGCGCAAUAUAUGCUCCAGCUAUACAUCCUUCAGGCGCGGAUUUAUUAGCCACAUAAUCUUUGUAGUCUCCAAGUUGCCUAUAAAUCAAGUUGCAAAAUGUUAUGAUUAUUGAACAUGUAUAUAUAUAUAUUGAGGAAUUUAGGUGUAAAAAACGUACCUUUCCAUGGGAUACAUCCAAGUGUAGUGUACUGGACUGGUAAGCAACAAUUGCUCGGGAAGAUGGAUCAUCAGGUGAGGCAUAAUGUCAAAAAAAUUUGGAGGAAAUAUCCUCUCAAAUUUACACAUAAUAUAAAUGAUGUCCUCUUGCAUUUCCCGGAAGUUAGAUUUUUUCACUUCCCGUGUGCAUAACUUCUGGAAGAAUCUUGCCAACGCUACUAACGGCUCCACCACCUGACGGGGAAUGAACGGUCGAAUGAAAACAAGGAAGAGACGUUGUAGCAGGAUAUGACAGUCAUGACUCUUCAACCCGUACAUCUUAUUGUCCCGGAAGUUCACACACCGGGCUAUAUUUCCUGCAUAGCCUGAAGGAUACUUCACACAACUCAUCCACCUGAAAAUUAUGUUCUUCUGGUCAGGCUUCACGGUGUAAGGAGCUUGAGGCAUUUUUUUCUUUCCUUCUUUCAACCACAGAUGUCUUCUUAAUUGCAUUUUUUUUAGAUCAAUGCGUGCCUUAGGACCGUCUUUUGUCUUCCCCUCCAAGUUCAGCACUGUGCCCACCACACUGUCGCAAACAUUCUUUUCUAUGUGCAUCACAUCUAGGUAGUGUCUGAUCAACAACUUACUCCAGUAUGGGAGUUCCCAGAAUAUGCUCUUAUGUGUCCAGAAUUUGUACAUGUCGGGUCUUUCAGGUAUUGCCGCCACAGUAUUGGGAUGAUUGCUAAGCUAGCCAAAAUCGUACUCAUUAAGCACUGCUAAAAUUUCUUCUCCUGUCCAUCUUCUGGGAGGCACACCGUGUUCUACGGUCCCAUCAAAUGCUUUGUCAUUGAACCGCCAUUCGUGAUUAUAUGGAAGGAAAGCACGGUGACCCAAUCUGCAUAUCUUGUUGCAAUGAUUGCUGCUCCCCUCAUCGCUAAGGCACUCUGGACAAGCCUUGUAUCCCCUAACAACGUUGCCCGACAACAUCCCACGGGUAGGAAAAUCACUGAUGGUACCAACAACCAUGACAUGCAUCUGGAACAUCUCGUGCAUGUACUUGUCAUAAGUGGGAUGACCAACUUCCCACAAAAACUGAAGCUCUUCAAUCAAAGGUCUCAAAUACACAUCGAGACACUUCCCUGGAUAACCGGGGCCCGGAAUCAACAAACUCAACAUAUUGUAUUCCUUCUUCAUGCACAUCCAUAGAGGAAGGUUGUACGGUACCAAAAUCACCGGCCAUACACUGUAUUGAAGACUCAUGUUGCCAAAAGGGUUGAACCCGUCGGAUGAGAGCCCGAGCCUCACAUUUCGGACCUCUGACGCAAAAUGAGGAAACUCCCUGUCUAUAUGCUUCCAAGCCUCCCCGUCAACAGGGUGUAUAAGGGUAUCUUCGUCAUGCAAUUCCCUAUCAACGUGCCAUCUCAUAGCUUGGGCCGUGUGUGAAGACAUGUACAACCGCUCAAACUUAUCCCUCAACGGGAAAUACCGAAGUACCUUCACAGGUUUCCUAUUGCCUGCAGGAGUCAGCUUAUACCUGUCAGUGUGACAUACCGGACAUGCGUCAAGCCCACCAAGGUCAUUCCCUUCUGGAUCUUUACCCUAGAAGAGAACGCAGUCAUAUCUGCAUGCAUGGAUCUUGAUGUAGGAAAGCCCAAGAUCUUUCAGGAUACAUCGGACCUUACGAUGAGUGGUAGGAAGACGAUGACCGUGGGGCAGCAUCGAAGCAGUGUACUGUAGAUAAUCAUCAACAGCCUUCACGGUCGAUUUUGUCUCAACUUUAAUCUUCAUUACGUCCAUCACACUUUCAAGAACAGUCUUCUGACAACCGGGGUACACAGGGGUCUGUUGGAAAGCAAGCAGUUUGUUGUACUUUUCAAUAUCAGCAGUGUUAACAGCUCUAGGGAAGGGCUGCACCGGGUCAGGCAUAUACUGUCCUUGAGCGCAUACACCGCUCUCAUAAGGAAACAUGUCUUUGAUGAAUGCCGUUGUUGGAUCGUUGGAUGUACUGCCCGUCUCAGAAAAUUAGGCCAUGAUCAUGCGGACCCCCUGAUGAUGUUUCACCGUGAUAUAACCAACAUGUGUACUUCUCCCAAAACCCGUUACUCCUCAGGUGCUGCCAUACUUUGUCAAUGGGAAAUCGAUGCAUAUCGCUGCGACACUGACAUUUCGUGCACGGGCAAUAGAAAAUUGUAUUCCCGUUAGCAUUAGCCAGCGCAUAUUCUAUAAAACUCAUAACUCCUGCACCGUAUCUUUUGUCCCAUUUUAGAAGCGAAAUCCAACUCUUAUCCAUAUCCUGAAAAUAUAACAAAAUAUAUAUUUAUAACGCUGCUAGCUAAUUAUUAAUGAAAUUUCAUGCCAUAUAUAAAAUCUCAAUUCAUUUAGUAUAUAUUCUACGUACUACAACUAAUUAAUAACAAAUUAAUUAACAUACACACAUAUAUAUAUAUAUAUAUAUAUACUUAAUAAUUACAGAACAAUAUUAUACAUAUAUAUAUCUACAUCAUCACAAAAUCAUCAUUGUGGUAUAUACCAUCAACACAAUAUUAUAAAUUAAUUAACAUAUAUAUAUAUAUAUAUCUACUACUUAUAAACAACUUCAUAUAUAUUAUAUCAAAUCAUCAACCAAAUCGAUCAACAUAUAUGUAUAUAUAUACAUCCAACAUACUCAAAAUCAAUUAACUCGAUCACAAUCAAAAUCAUAUAUCAACAUCAUCAUGAACUCAUAUAUAUCAUCAACAACUUCAUACCAUAUCAACACAAUAAUAUUAUAAAUUAAUUAACAUAUAUAUAUCUACUAUUUAUUAACAACAAAUUAAUUCAUAUAUAUUAUCAAUUCAAAUCAUCAACCAAAUCGAUCAACACAUAUAUAUAUAUACAUCCAACGUACUCAAAAUUAAUCAACUCAAUCACAAUCAAAAUCAAUAAACUCAAUCACACUUAAAAUCGAUCAACUCAAAUAAAACUCAAUUAAUCAACAUAUAUAUACAUAUACGUACCUAUAUAUGGCUCCACAAACUAAUUAUGGACAGAUUUCGACAACACCCAAACUUUUUCUCCCGUUUUUCUUCUCCUGUUUUUUUCCCAGAUGAGCUGCUGCUGUCCAGAUCCGCAAACAUAAAGCACUUUAGCCGACGACAUAUUAAUUUCGUCGGCUAAACUUUUAAAUAUUUCGUCGGCCAUAGUUUGUGAACUUUAGCCGACGAAAUUUUUUUUUCGUCGGCUAAAGUUUACCAUAGCCGACGAAAAUUUAACUUAGCCGACGAAAGAUAAUUUCGUCGGCUAAAGUGGACUUUAGCCGACGAAAAAAUGCUUCGUCAGCCUGGUUUUUUUUUUUCGUCGGCUAAAGCCUUUCUUCUGGUAGUGCAAGUACCUGCAUGACAAGCACGCGAAUAAGAAUGCUAGCAAUGCACAAGAGAUAUAAGAUAUAGAUCGAGCAAGUGAGAGUUCUUAAUUUGUUCAAAAUAAGGGUAACUAUAGCUACUUGAUUAGUACUAAGUACUCUUAAUAGCUGUUUUGUAACACAUGUAAGGCCUGGUGUUAUUUUCUCAAACACCUUGACGUACAAUUGUGUUAAACACAUUAUCAUAUAAUAUUAUUGGAAUAUCUAGUUGUUGGCGUACGUAAUAUCUUUCUCGUCAGCAUUAAUUUAUCUUGGUUAAAUUCAAAUUAAUCAACAGGCCGGCAUGAACUGAAGUAAGGAGGUUCUCUCUGAAAUGACUUGGCCAAGAUAUGCUGACCCUUGGCCACCUGAUGAUGAUGAUUUGAAUUGUUGCAUGCUAUUAAAACUGAAGAAGAUAUGUAGAAGAUAUUCGUGAAGGUUAAUUGAUUCUGUUAUUAGUUGGCUGAUUCUAUCAUUGCUGUUAAUAGAGAUAUGUAUCUAUAGUUACCUAGUUUGUCUAGAGUUUCCUUCUGUACAAGAAGUCUUGUAGGGUUUCGGUGUAAUAGCUUGUAUAUAAGCUGUGUAACUCCUUCGAUAUAGUUUGGGCAAUAUAAUAUAGUUCAUUCCAAGUUUCUUUAUGGUAUCAGUAGCAAGCCAAUCCUCGGCCAAAUCCUAAAACACCGAAACACUCAAACAACCUCAUGACAGAAGGUGACGACGAGAAGAAAGUGCUAGCCCUAUUGAGGGAGAAGCUGCUCAAAGAAGCCUCUUCUUCUGGCGCUCUCGCACACACACCUGAACCAUGGGAGAUCUCAAAUCACCCUCUCUAUCUUCACCAUUCGGAUCAGCCUGGUGCGAUUCUCGUAUCACAAUCCUUGGCAGAAGACAACUACAUGCAAUGGAGCCAAUCCAUGGCCAUGGCAUUGCAGAUCAAAAACAAGAUUGGCUUCAUCAAUGGGACCUCACAACGUCCUACAGAAGACCAGGCAGAUGAGCGGCAACAGUGGGACAGAUGUGACAUUCUUGGCAAAACUUGGCUUGGAGCAUCUAUGUCGAAUCCUAUUGCCAAGAGUGUCAUGCACUGCAAAAGCGCUCGAGCAGUUUGGCUUGAGUUGCAAGAAAGGUUCAUGCAAUCCAACACCGUCCAGUUAUUCAACAUAGAGAAUGAGAUUCACGGAUGUGAACAAGGUACCGAUUCUGUGACUACCUUUUUCACUAAACUCAAGGCACUAUGGGAUGAGCGAGAUGCCCUUUGUGAUCUAAGUCCCUGUGCAUGUGAGGAAGGUGGCAAGCUAUGUGAGUAUGUGAAAAAUAAAAAAACAAUGAAGUUUCUCAUGGGAUUGAAUGAGAAUUAUGCGCAAAUACGUGGCACCAUUGUUGCUAUUGAGCCUCUCCCGGUUGUCAACAAAGCCUACUCGAUGGUUCUUCGUCAUGAGAAACAGGCUGAGGCAGCCAUGGGAAGCAAACAAGGCGUGCAACAACAAGAAGCUGCAGCCUUUACCGUGAGAGGCAGUGACCGAGACAAUAGCCGAGACAACGGCAGAUCCAAUAGCCGUGCCGAGAGCGCCGAAGGCAGCAAGCCAAAAUAUGAAAAGUGCAAUAAGAGUCACCUUACCGAGAAUUACCGCCAGCAUCUAAAGUGCACGUUUUGCGGUUGAAAGGGUCACACCUAUGACAUUUGCCGAAGAAGAAAGGCCAUAGCAGAUCGAAACUCCAGGAGUAACCAUGUUGCUUCGAUGUUUGAAGAUGGAAACCCGGUCAACUUCCCUUUCUCAAAGGAAGAAUGCAAGCAGAUUGUUGAUAUGCUGAACAAAAACAAAGCAAGCACCGCAAAUCAUGUUGGUAAUUCUUCUAGCUUUGAAGAACUAUCAGGUAAAGCUUUACAUUAUGUACGACAUGAUCAGAAAAGUACUUGGAUUUUAGACAGUGGGGCUAGCGAUCAUAUUAUAUGUACUCCUCAUCUUCUCACCACUAAAUAUCCUGUCCAAAAUAGAAGUGUCAAACUUCCUGAUGGUAACUUUGCUAGAGUGAGUCAUGUUGGGACAGUGUCUUUUUCGUCCACCUUUGUGCUUCACAAUGUUUUAUGCGUACCAUUGUUUUACCUGAAUCUUAUAUUUAUCAGCAAGCUUGCACGUGAUUCAUUAUGCGUCACAGUCUUUCUAAAAGAGUUUUGUUUCAUACAGGACCUACGAUCGGGGAAGAUGAUUGGGACGAGAUCUGAGAAGGAAGGCCUAUAUUGUCUCGACAAAGCUAAGCAAGGCACAUGUCACAUGGUCUCGAGUCAGUCAACCUCUAUUUGGCACCAAAGGCUUGGACAUCCCUCGAGUCGAGUAUUUUCUAAGUUUUCCUUUCUUUCUAAUAAAUCUUGCGAUGCAAGUAACUGCUCUGUGUGCCCUUUGGCCAACAAACUCGGAAGUCUUUUCCUUUAAGUACAAUUUCAAGCAAAUUUCCUUUUGAAUUGAUUCAUGUUGAUAUUUGGGGAGCUUAUCAUGAACCUACUUAUUCGGGAGCCAAAUAUUUUCUCACCAUAGUUGAUGACUACACUAGGAGCACUUGGGUCUUUUUGAUGUCACAAAAAUCUGAAGCUCGAGGUUUAUUAGUCAAUUUUAUUCACUUUGCCGAAAACAGUUUGGUGCAAGUGUCAAAAUUGUGUGUAGUGAUAAUGGUCCUGAAUUCAAACACAACGAAUUUUAUGUGUCAAAAGGUAUUUGUCAUCAAACAAGCUGUGUCAACACACCAAGUUUCUUGGUGUGGUUGAGAGAAAGCAUCGACAUCUCCUCAACAUGGCACGAGCUUUACUUUUCCAAGCUAGUCUUCCUAAAAGUUUCUGGGGUGAUGCCAUUCUUACAUCAGCUUAUUUAAUCAAUAGAACUCCUACACCACUAUUAGGAGGUCAGAGUCCUUUCGAAAAACUGUUUCACAAAGACCCAAGUUAUUCUCACCUCAAAGUUUUUGGUUGUCUUUGUUUUGCUUCCUCACACCCAAACAAACCAGCCAAAUUCGAACCAAGAGCUCACAAAUGCAUUUUUUUGGGCUACCCAUACGGGCAGAAAGGUUACCGGGUCUACAACAUAGAAACCGAGCAAGUUACUAUGUCCAGGGACGUGAUUUUUCACGAAACAGAAUUCCCCUAUGCUGCUAUACACAGUCCUAAUUCUACUAGGGUUACAUCACAAGACUUUGGGCUCUCUAGGGUUUCCAAUGACAUUCGGGUUUCAGGACCAGGUAGGGUUUCUUUUCCACCACAUAACAAUUUGCUUCCGCCACAAGAAAGGGUUUCCUAGACUGCCUUUAGUGUCGAACCACAAACAUAGAUACUUCCAACAGUUCUCCAACCCUCACCUACCUUCACCCACCGAUCUAGUGUCACCAGCUCCGAAUCCUAACCCUACUCUCCUCAUCGAGUCUUCCUCUUCUGCCUCGGAUCCACACACUACUCCUUCUUCUCCUUGUCGCUCUUCCUGUCCUACAAAGCCUCCGACCUUCUUGCAAGACUUUCAUGUCGAGACAGCGCUACCUUCCAGGGCAGUCCCAUCAUCUGCUCCGAUGUCAGGUACUACUCACUCCCUUGCUCAUGUGUUGUCUUAUGAUCGUUUAUCACCUUCUCAUCGUGUUUUUAGCACUCAACUCACCCUCCAUAAGGAGCCCACUUCUUAUUCUGAGGCAGUACAAGUCCCAGAAUGGCGAACUACCAUGCAAGCUGAGAUUAAGGCUUUGCAAUCUAACAGAACAUGGAGUUUAGUGCCUUUACAGCCCAAUAAACGUGCUAUCGGUUGCAAAUGGGUUUACAAGCUCAAGUUUAAUCCGGAUGGCACCAUUGAGAGAUACAAAGCUCGCCUUGUAGCUAAAGGUUAUAGUCAGAUAGCAGGAAUUGAUUAUCGAGAGACCUUUGCACCGGUUGCCAAGCUUACCACCGUGCGUGUCUUACUCGGCCUUGCUUCCAUCAAUGGUUGGCAUUUACAUCAACUUGAUGUCAAUAAUGCCUUCUUGAAUGGAGAUCUUUCCGAGGAAGUCUAUAUGCAUCUUCCUCCUGGAUUUGGAGGAAAGGGGGAGAAUCGUGUGUGCAAGCUACACAAGAGUUUAUACGGAUUGAAACAAGCCUCGAGACAAUGGUUUAUCAAGCUUUCUACUGCUCUCAAAACCGCAGGCUUUCAUCAGUCAUGGUCGGACUAUUCUCUUUUUGUACGUACACGAGGAAGAAAGUUCACUGCUCUUUCAGUAUAUGUGGAUGAUGUAAUAUUGGCAGGAAAUUGCAUACAAGACAUCGAAGACACAAAGACCUUUCUUUUGAACCAAUUCAAGUUGAAGGAUCUUGGGCAACUUAAGUACUUUCUAGGCAUUGAAGUGGCAAGAUCCAAGAAAAGCUUGGCGUUAUGUCAGCGGAAAUACGCCCUUGAAGUCCUUGAGGAUGCAGGCUACUUGGGUGCAAAACCAUCUCGGUUUCCUAUUGACCAUAACCUCUCCCUCACACAAGCAGAAGGUGAUUUAUUGAAAGAUCCAUCACAAUACAGGAGAUUAGUGGGACGGCUUAUCUAUCUGACCAUCACUCUGCCAGACUUGGUAUAUUCAGUACAUAUCCUAAGUCAGUUCAUGAAUCAACCUCGUCAACCACACAUGGAUGCAGCCUAUCGAAUUUUACAUUACAUGAAACACACUCCUGGACAAGGUAUCUUGCUUCCUUCGACAGGAAAAUUAGAACUCACUGCAUUUUGUGACGCUGAUUGGGCGAGAUGCAAGGACACUCGACGAUCCAUUACUGGAUCUUGUAUCGUGCUUGGCAAUGCACCGGUUUCAUGGAAAGCUAAGAAACAAGGUACGGUUUCUCGUUCAAGUGCAGAGGCUGAGUACAGGUCUAUGGCAUCCACUUGUUAUGAGGUAACGUGGCUCAGAAAUAUCUUAAAGGAUUUAAACGUACGUAAUUUAGCUCCUACAAGAUUAUUUUGUGAUAAUCAGGCUGCCAUUUACAUAGCUACCAAUCCGGUUUUUCAUGAACGUACGAAACAUAUUGAAAUUGAUUGUCAUGUUGUACGUGAGAAAGUGCAACGAGGAGUAGUGAAGAUGGUUCAUGUUGGAACCAAAGACCAGCCGGCAGAUCUCUUCACCAAGCUGUUGAGCUCUAUUCAGUUUGAGACAUUGCUUAACAAGUUGGGUGUCAUCAAUAUUCAUUCCAACUUGAGGGGGAGUAUUAAAACUGAAGAAGAUAUGUAGAAGAUAUUUGUGAAGGUUAAUUGAUUCUGUUAUUAGUUGGCUGAUUCUAUCAUUGCUGUUAAUAGAGAUAUGUAUCUAUAGUUACCUAGUUUGUUUAGAGUUUCCUUCUGUACAAGAAGUCUUGUAGGGUUUCGGUGUAAUAGCUUGUAUAUAAGCUGUGUAACUCCUUCGAUAUAGUUUGGGCAAUAUAACAUAGUUCAUUCCAAGUUUCUUUACAUGCAUCAAUCACUAAAUGGCUUUAAAAAGUUGGUUAUGUUUUAGAUGAUGUAUGAGUAGUAGAAUAUAGAUCCGAAUUGAUACUCUCUUUCAUUGUAUCUGUCGAACAAUCUUUUAUGGGAUAAUCUUCGAGUUUAUUUGACCUGCAGUUUCUGCAGUUUCAAUAUGCACCAUCGAUCUGCGUCCAACCAACUAUCGCUGAUUACUUUUGAUAGGCAUAUUGGAUACCAUGCCACCAGAAACAUCACCGUUCUUGAGAAAACCAAUCCUUAAAUGAUCUUUUAUAAACAUAUGAAUACCAGGAGAAACAUACAACUGCAAUGCAAGGCACCUCAUUUCUUGCUGUUAGCGCGCACACGGGGUGACUUGUCUUUCAGCACUCCUAUAUGGUGCGUUGAUAAUAUUCUCUCAAUCUAUAUAUAGGUGAAAACUAUAAUAUUUUCACUGUUAAUCCCAUUGGUACGUAAGAGACAACGUACUGAAUUUGAUCCACAAAUCUGUAUCGUCUCCACUCUGCCGCACCUCCCAAAUCAACAAUCAAAGAACUGUAAGUAAAUGAAUGUUAGGGCUUUAACUUGAUGGAUUAUAAUUGUAAUAUGGAUUUUGGGAAAGAAUGAGGGAACGAAGUAACUAAAGAGAAUGAAGAAUCAGGAUUAGAUCGAGUGCAGAAGCCUCUAACACACUAACUGGUUGACUAGUAGUACACCGUCCAGAGACGUACUCCUUGAAACAAAACUUGGAUACAGUAUUUGCUUAAAGAGCUCGAUCACCAUGUCAGCCCAUUCGGCAAAGGCUAUUUCUUUCAAUACUAGUCUGGGGCGGCGGUCAAAUUAUAUAUAACAUCUAUCAAACUAUAUUUGAAUUUGUAUUCAGAGUUACAGCUAGGUAACUGGGCUGCCAUUCCCCGUUUACAAAGAUUCGAUCGAAUACCGCAUGAUUACCAGAUUCAUAUACUGCUAAAAUUGCAGCUUGGUCGAUCUCUGUUGUCGACAUCAACUAUUGAGAUAAUCAAGCAAAAACCCUUAAUCUGAGCAUGUGUUUAACGCUUAGUUGCCGCAUGAUAAGAAAUGACAAAACAAAACCCCCUUUCAUUAGAAGAAGUCAGCUGCACCAAUGAAGCAAGAAUCUUAGCCAGUUCAUCUCAGUACGAUCGAUACUGGGUUGCAGAAUAUAUAAUAAUUGUUUGUGAAGUUAAGCCUGUGGAUAAAGAAUGAUUAAGUGAUGCCAUAGGCUUUAGCAAGCUAAUGAUCAAUAUUUUGUUCGAUAAUAGAAUUGACAGAAUACAUAGUUGGAUAGUGUGAUCUUUAUUCUGAAGUAGAGUAUAAAUUCUGUCUGUUUCGUAUCUUGCAAGAAAGGAGUGUUUAAUUUCGUUCUCUAUUUUUCUCUCGGAGUCUGAGAUGGGAAUAAUAACAAGAUGACGAGGGAGAGAAGCUGUACAGGGGCCUCUAGUAGUAUUACUGUACGCCUGUACCUCACCGACCCAGAAUUGAAGAACCCCAAUUUUUAUAAUUGUGAUGCCAGGAUCCGUCCUCGCAUUUCUUUAUCUCUAUAGCUGAAGGUCGCAGCAAAAAGUUGACAUUAUUAAUUCUUUUGCAACUCACGCCACCGCACUAUGACACUAGCCAUCUCCUUUGAUGAUUAUCCUUAUCCCUAGCUCCCUCCAGAUCUUUCAGCUAGUUUCACACUAUUGCCUGCAUGCAGGUAUAUAUGGUGUAUAUGUCUUUGUAUAUAUAUACUGGACGCUGUAUAUACGUGCUGAGCUCCAUUCCUGGAAUGACUCAUCAAUUUUUUUUCGUUUGAUUGCAUCUAUAGCGAUCGACCGAUCAAUAAACUUUAUAAAAAUGUAUUAGACAUGAGGCAUGAACGUUGGUAUCGAAAGUAAAACUCCAAGUGAAUAUUGACCUUUUCUGAGUGCUGCAUAUAUAUAUAUGUAUGCAUUGCCCAAAUAUGCAAGUAGUACGAUAGAGCAUCAGUGAAUGUACGGUCAAGAACACCAAAAAUAUAAGGGUGACCCUUGGCUUCCCAUUUGGGCCAUUUAUACAACUAUGCCGGCCGUUGCUUCACAAAGUAGGGUUGGGCGCAGGUCGAGCCCGGACUGUUUUUUUUAGGGCCCGGGCCCGGGCCCGGUCCGGUUGUAGUGUGACGGGCCGGGUUUAGUCGUCAAAAUAUCAAGGCCCGGGUAAAACCCAGUCCGGGUGUGUUAAUUACAGGGCCCAGGUAAAGCCCGGACCGGUAUCAUCUGGGCUGAGCCCGCCCAGGUUUUCGAACCCAGCUCUUCUUUUUGGCUGGUAAUGAAAGCAAAAUAGCAAAUAACCUGUGUCUCUGUAACAGAAAGGCAAAUACUGCAAUUGCCUACCAAGCACCAAAUAUAUUGUUCAGUGUUCACCAUUUGUCCACUACAAAUACAAAGUCAUAACCCACCAAAUUAACCAAAGUUCAAUUGAAAGUUUGAAACUUGAAGGUUGAAACUUUGAAAGAAAACCAGAAAAUCCAAACAUGCAUAAUCAAAUCAAUCGAUGGGCAGAUCCUCCAAAUCUUCAAUGCAAGCCUGGACCUGAGAUUUUGAGACCCGAGUCAAACUCUCAAAAUUGGGCCCUCAAAUCGUAGUUUGCAUCUAGUUUAAUUUUUUUAUUUAUCUAAAGAAUUUAAGAAACUAAAUAUAAACUCAAGAUUUAACUAUGUAUAAAACAAUAUCAAAAAAUAUUUGGAUUAUAAUUAAUAUUUUAAUAAUUUAAAUUACAUUAUAAACCUUACGUUUUAUUUUCUUCCAAAGUUUACCUUUUGUUUUGGGUACAAAUUUUGAAUAGUAAUUAAAUGGUAUAGACUUUUAAUACUAUUUCCUUGUUUCUUUGACUCAAAAUAUAUUAUUUUAUAUAUAUUGUAUAGUUAAACCAAGUUUGUUUGGGCCCAUUCAGUACCUCUUUAAUUCUUUAAUUGCUGUAAGAAAAUGGAGCUCUGUGGUUGUACUUUCUUUUCGAUGGGAACAGUAAUUGUACUUUUCCUUUGCGUUAUUUAACUGUUGUUUAUCAUGUAAAGAGCUGUAACUUUCUUUUUCUAGGCCUCUUGAACUCCAAGCCCUGAGUCGACCGGCUCGUCAGACUCGUAUCAAGUCCGACCCUGCUUUAAUGCACACCUUGACUUCAACUUUAAUCUCCAUUCUCCAAUGCACUUCAAUACUUACCUUGUACCUGUAAGACAAGGUGUAAAAUAGAUUCAGUUGGCCUGCAUUUACAAAUGAAUGAGCAUAUUUUAAUGGUGGCAGGGCUUAAGAGAUUCAGUUUUUCAGUACAAUAGAAUUUAAAUUUUGUUUUCCAAUGCAUUAGAAAAUUUUCAAUUGCAAAUGAAUGUGUCUGUUAGCAAAGAUAAGUAGAUAACAACGACAACUCAUUCAAGUUCUUUGUAAAUGCAAAAUGCCUAUCUUAGUAUCUUAGAGGCCAGUAGACCAGUAGUACACUAGUAAACACAAUGACACAAUGGCAAGCCAAUCUAGCAUAUUACCAUCUUACUCAUAUCAAGUAACAUCACUACUGUUCUAACAACAUCACUACUGUUUUAAGUUUAUAACACUACAAAUAACAAACAAUAAUGAAUCAAAACAACAUCACAAUAGCACAAGCACUGAAGCAACAUCACAAUAUACACCAACAAGUCAACAACAUGCUAUCAUAUAUGUAAGAUCACCAUUCACCAAUUCAUGGGCAUAAACACUGAUUUCACAUAGGAGAAAGAAGCUGAUUCACAUAGAUUUCACACUGAUUUCACAUAAGAGAAAGAAGCUGAGAAUUGAGAAGAAUGGUACCUGAGUCAGCCUUGCCACCUUGGUUCGUGGUCUGAGUGAGAGGGACAGACAGUGAGAGAUGACUACUCGGCACCGGAGAGACAAGAGUUUGAGAGACGACAACUCGGCACAGGAGAGACCGAGAGCACUGAGAGUCUGAGAGACGAGGCCACGAGUCCACGACGACUCAACGAGUGAGAGGGAGGCGAGUGAGGCGACGAGGAGCGGCUGUGAUGGCGCGGCGAUGCGAGUGAGGCGACGAGGAGCGACUGCUAUGGUGCGGAGAUGCGAGGCGACGACGAGGAGCGGCUGCGAUGGCGCAGCGAUGCGAGUGAGGCGAGGACGAGGAGCGGCUGCGAUGGCGCGAUGAUGCGAGGCGAUGACGAGGCGAUGGAGGCGCGGCAAAUGGGCGAUGCAUGAGAGAGGCGCGGCGAUGAGAGUGAGACUGAGAAAUUGACUAAUUGAGAGUAAGGGCUGAGGAAGUGAGGAGUCGAUCCACUCGAUCGAUGGUUUAGGGUUAUCUGGUUAUGUUCCAGUGUCAUUGUACCUAUUUUAUAAGUUUAGGACCACUUACGAAAGCCAAUUAGAUAAUAACACCUAAGGUCCUGGGUUUCCGGGCUUUUUUUGUUUAAAGAUUUGAAGGCCCGGGCCUGGCCCGGACAGAACAAAGCCCGGCCCGUUUAUCACAUACCAACACACGAGCCCGGAAAAAAGCCUGGCCCGUCGGUCCGAUCCGGGUUUUUUUUUCUUCUUCGAGCUUUUUGCCCAGCCCUAUCACAAAGGCAGUAGCUACUAGCUAGGAAAUCGAAAAAAAGGCAGUAGCGUGCUUGGUAUUCCGCAAAGGAAAAUGAUUCUAGACCUUAGACCUUAUUAAGGCCUAAGAUUUUAUGCCUCAAAUCUACCUGGCAUAUCAAAUCACUUAGACACAUCACAUAUUAAAAAAUUUAUGUCAUGUAAUACUUAAGUAUAAAGACCAUCUUACCAUUUGGUCCAUUUCAAACAAUGACUCUAAUAAAUUUCAGUUUUUCAUUAAAUAAUAAAACUAUUUUAGCUUUCCUUCUUCUAAAUAUCUAAUUAAAUAUAAAAAAUAUAACAUCAAAAUAACAUUAUAUUAUAUAUUUAUAAUACAUGUAUAUUAUAAAAAAAAAUACAUGUAUAUAUAUUAUAUAAAUAAUAUGUAAGUAAAUCAUUUAGAGAAAUUAUUUGUAUAUAAAUUAUUUUCAGACGAAUUAUAGAAAAUUUUGAUGAAUUAUAUCCAAAUUAUCUUAUAUUAGUGUUUUUUUUAUGAAUUAUAAUUGCUUUUUGGACGAAUUAGGGUUAGAGUUAGAGUUUAUUUGACAAAACUAAUUAUUAAUUAAAAAAUAGUUAAUCUUCAUAUUGAUAUAAGAAACAUUCCUUAUAUUAUACACAAUUAGUGGUUGCUAUUAAUAUGUAAUAUUUGUUUCCAUUACCUAAUAAAGUACAUUAAUAUCAUUGAUUCACCCCUUAAAACGUAAAAAGAAAUAGAAAUGGUAAAAUUGGUAAUGCAAUGUUUUUGAUUUGGCAAGAUUUAUUAUGUGGAAUCAAAAAUAAAUAUUUUUAUUUACUUACAUAGCAUGACACAUAGGAUUAAGACCACAAAUUUUAGAUCUUAUUAAGGCCCUCUAGCACUACCCUUCUGUAAAUUGCAUAUAUGAGAUCGAGCUCGAUCAUAUCACAAUAAAGGAUAGUAUACACGUGCAUAUAUAAAUAUAUAUAUAUAUAUAUAUAUUAUAUAUAUAUAUAUAUUUAUACAGGACCCUUCUAAUGAGAGAUCCUUUUUUUUGACAUAUAUGAGGGAUGGGGGAUUACACCAACUUUUCGAUUAUAUUUUUGAAUCUCUACCGUUCAGUUUGUUGGUCCUUACAUAUAGAUCAAUUCUAUAAAUUUUCAGCAAAUUUGGUGAUCGUUAAGGUGUCGAACAAGAUUAAAUCAAUGAACCAACCAAAUCUGCCAAACUUGAACCGUUUAUGCUUAUAAUUAUAAAUCAUAGUUUUGAAUACCUUAAGGAUCACCAAAAUUUCAAAAAAUUUGUAGAAGUGAUCUACCCAUAUAGAACUACAUAUUGAACAGUGGCGAUGUGAUUUUGUGAUCGGAAAGUUGGUGUAAUCCCCCAUCCCUCAUAUAUGUCAAAAAAAGGGAUCCCUCAUGCAUUGGAAAGGGCAUGUGUGUGUGUGUGUAUAUAUAUACACACACACAGAGUCGUUCUAAAGAGGACGUCCGCACAGCCUUUAAAGUGUGGACGUCCUCUUCGUUCGCCACCAUACGGCGCCGGUGAGGGCGCGCCUCCACCCCAGCGGACUCCAGCAGCGUCCCUGACCACUUUCCCUCCCCGGCGAGUCUGCUGAAUUCCAGUUUUCCGGNNNNNNNNNNNNNNNNNNNNGAGCUUUUCAAUUGAUGGGGAUCAAUAUUCAUGCACUCUUCUAGAAUGAGAUCGAUGACAGACGACCGAUGACAUAUAUAUCAUGCAUCAUCUAGAAUUAUCCGAGUCCAAAAUUAAUUUUUAUGAAUUAUUAAUUAUUACUUCUCUGAAUCAACUAAAAUUAUUUUUCUUGGAUAAAAAUUGAAAUUUCAUACAAAAGGAAUCAAACUUUACAUUAUUUUUGGAUCUUAAAAUCAGACUUUGGAUCCAACAAAAUUUCACCCCUAAUUUAAAGCUUAAUGCAUGUACGUGUUAAUAUAUUUAACCAAAACAGAUACAGUAUUUGCUAAUCAUGUUCUCGGAUUUCUUGGAUGAUGUAGUCUGGUCUAACCUUAUGUCGACUGAGAAAUAACAAUUUGGACUAAAUUAAAGGCAACUACAUACACAUCAAUUUACAUGGAAAAUAUAGAGGAUAACUUUGGGGACCUCAUUUGUAUGGCAUGAGUCUGCCUUUCGCCAUCGAUGUGUGUCGUGUUGUUUUGGCCAGACGCAUCAUUGUGCGAGAGGGAGAUAACACUUCUUUAUUAUCUCCAAUGAUGAACCUAAAAAUUAAUUUUCAUAUUGUCAAAUUACAUUUAGUAUUACGUAUAUUGGGUCUGUAUUAUAUUCCUUUGAAACACAAGAAAUAAUGGAAACCCUAUGAACAGUCAUGAUCAUAUUCUUGGAUUGUACCUUAUGAUUUCCAUGAAAUUAACCACAUAUAUGCAACAUUUGUAUAUAACUUUCUCUCCUCCCUUUUCAUGAAUUGGAAGCGAAUCCAUAUAGAAAAAGGAGGUCCCAAUUGGAUAAAUCCAACUAGCUAGUCUCUCCAACUCGAUCAUCGAUAUCCAUCAGAUAUAUGCUGCAGGAUAAUGAUAGAUAUGCCAAGAAGUUAAUGACCUCAAGUUAAGGCCUUGCUACAAGCUCACUACAAGAAAAAGAGAGAAAGAUCGAAAAGAAUGCACAUAUUUAGGCACAUAAAACAAGAUAUAUAAGAAGGUGAAUCGCCGUACAAAGGACACGUUGUUGUUAACUUCCGUAUGCAUAGAUUCGAAGUUGUGCAUUCGAACUUUAAUCUCUGUAGUGCAUCCGAUCGUUGUCAAGUAAUGAUGUUAUAACCAAUCCAAUAUCUUCGAACCCAAAUAUUAUAUAAAUCACAAUAAUCAAAUUGAAAUUACAAACAAUAAAAAAUAUGAAAUUGAAAUUACUAACUUAAACAGAUAGAGGCUUGCGAAACAGUGACCUAAGACAGAAAUUCGCCUAUCUUUUAACUAUAUAUAUGUCUAUAUAUAAAUAUAGUUUAUUUUCUAUUAGAAAAACCCAACAGAAAACCCACCAAGCUCAAUCAAGCAUUUACAUCAAUUUAAUUAGUCACAAGGAGAGUACCUUAUAAAGACCACCACUUUUAGUUCUUCUUCCAUGUGUGGGAUUUAGUUCCAACAAAUGAUAUAUACAUCCAUUUGUGAAAUAUCUAAUCAAACAUUUUCUUGUUUUCCUUCACUUUCAAAACCCUUUAAUUUCUAUCUGAUUCUGAGCAAAUGCCAAUCCACACCCCCAUUCCAUCGCCUAUAUAAACACUUCCAAGACACCCCAAAACUCACUCCAACAAAACCUCAUCAAGUAUAACUAGUACGUACUGCAACCAUAUACUCCACGCUCCACAUUUCUCAGUUACUCACCCAUUAGCAUUACAUACUUUGCCUUGUUUGAUAUAUACAUUGUUGUUUUGGACCUUACCGAAAGACGAUUAACUUGCAAUGGAGGCGGUGACAAAGAUGGUGUCCGAGAGACCGGUGGUGAUCUUCAGCAAGAGCUCAUGCUGCAUAAGCCACUCAAUCAAGACCUUGCUUUCCGACUUUGGGGUGAACCCAGCAGUGUAUGAGCUUGAUGAGAUGCAAAGAGGGAGAGAAAUAGAGCAAGCUCUGUUGAGGCUCGGGUGCAGCCCAUCUGUUCCGGCUGUGUUCAUUGGUGGCGAAUUUGUUGGCGGAGCCAAUGAAGUCAUGAGUCUUCAUCUUAAGCGCUCCUUAAUCCCAAUGCUUAAGCGUGUCGGUGCAUUGUGGGUUUAAUUUGUUGGCGGAGCCAAUGAAGUCAUGAGUCGUCAUCAUCAUGUUAGCUAAGCACUUCCUGUCAAGAAUCUUAAUUAGUUAUGCAUGCAUAAGAGAUUAAGUGUGGGAUAAUUAUAUAUGACAUAUAGAGCCUGUGAGAGAUUUUAUUUUUAUUUUUUUAAAUAAGGCUACUAUUUCUACUUAAUUAGUAUUAAGUACUCUUACUAGCUUGAAAGGGUUAUUAGCCUUUUUGUGAUCCAAUGUACUUCGUGUUAUUUUCCCAAACACCAAUUGAAGGGGUUGAUAUUUGUGUUCAACUCAGUAUUGGUAUGGGAAGGAGAAUAUAUAUAUAUAUAUAUAUAUAUAUAUAUAUAUAUAUAUAUAUGUUAACCAAGUUGGUAUUAUUACAUUUCUCAUGCAAUGUAGAUCAAUACAUGUAUGCAUAAUUGGUAGUAAGGCUCGCAGUUCCAAAGACUUCAUGUUGAGUUGUGCAUAUAUGCCUAUGAAGGAUAUUCAAUUUAAUCAAGGCAUUACCUUACAAGGAGAUGUUCUCAACUUCUACUAAUAAGGAUAUAUCAAAGUAAUUAGAUGGCAUUGCUAGCUCAUUAUCAAAGACAGCUCCCCUCAUGAAUUUAUGAUGUGUUAUCUAAACCAAGUGGAUGUGAAAUUAGUAAGCCUGAAAAGAUGGAAGUCUAUAUAUAUGAAUAUUUGAAUGCAGGACUUCAGUGCGUACGUACUAGUUGAAGGGAAAAGAACACAGAUGAUUUGUAAAUUACAGUAUUCGCUAUACCAACUUAAACAGGCUAUCAAACAAAUGAUAUCUAAAAUUUCCUUUGGUUUAAAUAUGUUUUAGAUUAUAUGUCGGGGUGACAUUUCUUGGGUUUCAAUUUCAAGUAGUUCCUCUCAGAUAUGGGGGCACAAAACAAGUUAAAUAGGAGCUAGGAAGUUAAUUAACUCAAUUAGCUAGUUACAUUACUGCAUGUUAGGUUUCUAAGCCAUGAUUACUAAUAGUUAAGUUUCUCCGGUUCACACGUGUAUAUGAGAUUUGCCUUCUGCAGUCCUGCUAUUUCAAUUGAACCACGAAACACGAGGGGAAAAUAAUAUCGUAAGAUUCCUAAAUUAUAAGAAUUAUAUUGUGAUUUGAGUACAGAUUUCUAUUUAGGACUUGGGAUUCAACACUGUAUUUCUGAGUUCUGAGAAUAUUGUGCUGCCCUUGGACUGAGAACAUACACCUUUGUCGGAGGGCCUUGGGUUGUUUACGCAGAUAUGAAUUAAUGGAGAUGGUAACUGCCAUUGGACUGGGUUCAUGUUCAUAACUCAAUUUCUUAAACACUUUGCAUGUGCUGAUAGAAUCAAGUGACACAUUUGAGUGAUUUGACAAGAAUUGUUGCCAGCACCAAUUAAGAAGCACGAAUCACCGCCAAUCUUAAUAAGAUGUUUGUAUAGUAAACGUUGAUGGAACAAAUUAAACAUAUGUGGAUGAUCAUUAUAUGCAUCCGUAGCAGUUAGCAAGCAGCUAGCUAGGGAUCUGAUUUGGUUCGCUAACAGAAAAUGAUUAAUGAACACUUGUAUAUAGAUUUCUAUUCCUCUUCUUCUUCUUUUUUCCCAUGAUCCGCAUUAAGAUUUGGGCGGAGAUAGUGUUCUGAGUAUUGGUAUCUAGAAAAGCAACGUUAAAGAAAGCUACAGGAAAGGGCCUGAUGAGCCUCAUCCCUUUCUUCCUCAUGCAUCUUUUCUUUCAGUGAUCGAGAGCUAGAGAAUCUGUACAGGAUCUGUACCUCAUGCCCUCACCAAACCAGCUAAUAAUCUUAGAUUGUGAUGCCACGAUCCGUCCUUGCAAUCUUUAUCUGUAAAUUAAGCUAAAAAGUUGACAUUCGAUCAUUCUUUUUCCAACUUACACUAUGACACUAGCUUUCCUCCUUUUAGUUCAUAACGUAGAUCUUAUCCCUCUUAUCAGGUUCUUACAUAUCUAUAUUAAAACCUUGUGAUCGAUGUACAGUCCAGGAGCCUUAUUGACAGCUUUUCCGAUCUGUAGCUUCUCCCAGUUGGGGCCAUUUUAGAUCAAUCCCUGGCGAGAUAGAACUCCUCAAAGCAUUUUGUAGAGAUCUUCUGUAUAUAUUAGGUAUACUUUUGACGUUCCCAUCAAUAUUGUGUCCAAUAUUCGAAUUGGUGAUGCAAAGCUGGAAAAUAAAUAAAGUUAGGGCCGGGGCUUCCAGUUGAUGGGGAAUAUAGUCCUGCAGUCUUUUCCAUCGAGAUGACUCACAUACCAUGUAUUGAACCCUAGAGUAUAAGAAUAGGCAAUUGACAGGAAAAUAUAUAAUGAAAGAAGCAAAGAGGUGUUGUCUGGAACGUGUCAUCGACAUGGCUUCUCUAGCUAGCUUAUAUAUUCAUAAUUACUUAGAUAAUUGAAAAUUUUCUCUUUACAAAAAAUAAUCAAGAUUUCAAUAUAAAUAGCUAGUUAUGCUAUACAUAGCAGUAUAGCUGUAUAUGAUUUAAAACAGUGUCCUUUUCAUGAUUGGAUUCGAUCAAAUGCAAGAAGGAAAAGGAGGUCCCAAUUGGAUAAAUCCAACAAUUCUCUCCGACUCAGAAAAUAUUCGAGCUGCAGAAUAGAUACAAAAUGAAACACCAUGCAGAUCUAUAUAUGAUCAUAUCAAAUUUCCAUGAGCACAAAUAUAUUAAGUAUUAAUGAUUACUAAUGGAAUAUAACACCCUAGUAGGAAAAGUAACCUAUAUUUACGUGAUUCGUGUGAUUUUUUACGAUAAUAAGCAUAUCGAAAAAAGCAUGCGAAUCGUUUUUCCUCGUUACUAAUAGAAAUGAAGCAACAUACACCAAAUGAGAAACAAAAACGAAGAACAAAAUGCAUAUAUGGCAGUAAGGUAAGGAUCGAUGGACCAUAUCUAGGAUAAGAAUAUAUGUGAAACCGUACCAAGGACGCGUCUUUUUAUCCGUAUGUUAAAAUUCGACAUUGUGCAUUCAACUUUGAUUCUCUUAGCUAGUGCAGCUUUUGGAUAGCUGUCUAGAAAUGAUCGAUAUCAAAGUUUGUGAAAUCACAAAAUCAAAUUGAACAUUCUUAUUUUCCUUCUUUAUCAAAACCCUUUAACUUUUAGACAAUGCCAAUCAACUCUCCCCCAUCUCCUAUAUAUACACUUCCAUGGCACUCCAUAACUCACAAACACAUCAAACACCUCACCAUUACAGAUUCCUCCGAAAGCUCUAAUCUCUAUUUCCUCCGAAAUCUAAACACAUUUCACUUACCAACCGGCCGUUUCCAUUAGCUUACACUUCGUCUUCUAGUCAUUACAUAUUCACCUUGUUUACCGGAAGAAAGCUGCUAGCUAGCAAUGGAGGCGGUGACAAAGAUGGCGUCCGAGAGACCAGUGGUGAUCUUCAGUAAGAGCUCAUGCUGCAUGAGCCACUCAAUCAAGACCUUGCUUUCCGACUUUGGGGUGAACCCAGCAGUGUAUGAGCUUGAUGAGAUGCAAAGAGGGAGAGAAAUAGAGCAAGUUCUGUUGAGGCUCGGAUGCAGCCCAUCUGUGCCGGCUGUGUUCAUUGGUGGCGAAUUUGUUGGCGGAGCCAAUGAAGUGAUGAGUCUUCAUCUUAAGCGCUCCUUAAUCCCCAUGCUUAAGCGCGUUGGUGCAUUAUGGGUUUGAUCAAUCUAAUCACCAAGUUAACCAAGUACCUGCAUGACAAGCACGCUAAUAAGAAUGCUAGCUAUGCACGAGAGAUAAGAUAUAGAGAAAGUGAGAGUUCUUUUUUCAAAAUAAGGGUAACUAUAGCUACUUGAUUAGUACUAAGUAUUACUCUUAAUUGCUGUUUUGUAACACAUGUAAGGCCUGGUGUUAUUUUCUCAAAUACCUUGACAAUGGUGUGUGAGUAUUAGAAUAUCGAUCCGAAUUGAUACUCUCUUUCAUUGUAUCUGUCGACUGAACAAUCUUUUAUGGGAUAAUCUUAGAGUUUAUUUGGUCUGCAGUGUCUGCAGUUUCAAUAUGCACCAGAUUAUUUGCCAUCCAUCUACGUCCAAUUAACCAACUAUCACUGAUUACUUUUGAUAGGCAUAUUGGAUACCAUGCCAGGAGAAACAUCAAUGAUCUUGAGAAAACCAAUCCUAAAAUGAUCUUGUAUAAACUUAUGGAUACCAGGAGAAACAUAUAACUGCAAUCAAAGAACUGUAAGUAAAUGAAGGUUAGGGUUUAAAAAACUUGAUGGAUUAUAAUUGUAAAAUAUGGAUUUUGGGAAAGAAUGAGGGAGCGAAGUAACUAAAGAGAAUGAAUAAUGAGGAUUAGAUCGAGUCUCUAACACACUAACUGGUUGACUAGUAGUACACCAGAGACGUACUCCUUGAAACAAAACUUGGAUACGUACGGUAUUUGCUUAAAGAGCUCGAUCACCAUGUAAGGUUCAAGCUUAACUCUAACUACGCAUAGUUCCUACACUAAAUGGUUAGGGCCUCCAGUUAGUUCUUAUCAUAUCAGAUUAUAUACCAAUUGAGUUUUAACAUGCGUAUUAGAGCAUUACUCAACAACACAUAGAUCAAUGUCAAGCUAAAUCUCGCUGCUAUUUGUUGAAAUAUCAGUAGAGUAACUAGCUAUCUAAGUAAAGGGGGCGUGAAGGAACUAUAAUUAUGUUGCUCGAUCAAGUCAGCCCAUUCGGCAAAGGCUAUUUCUUUCAAUACUAGUAUAGCCUAGCUAGUUCAAAUAAUUUUGUUUGCUAACAUCUAUCAAACUAUAUUUGAAUUUGUAUUCAGAGUUACAGCUAGGUAACUGGGCUGCCAUUCCCCGUUUACAAAGAUUCGAUCGAAUACUAUGCAUGAUUACCACAUUCAUAUACUGCUAAAAUUGCAGCUUGGUCGACCUCUGUUGUCAACAUCGAUCAAUUAUUGAGAUAAUAAACCCUUAAUUAACCCCCUUUUCAUUAGAAGAAACCAGCUGCACCAAUGAAGCAAGCAUCUCAGAACGAUAUUUGUGAAUGUAAGUCUGUGGAUAAAGAAUGAUUAAGUGAUGCCAUAGGCUUUAGCAAGCCAAUGAUCAAUAUAUAUUAUUUUGUUCGAUAAUAGAGAUGACAGAAUACGUAGUUGGAUAGUGAUCUUUAUUCUGAAGUAGUAUAAAUUCUGUCUGUUUCGUUUCUGCAAAUGGAAGCACGAAAGUGGUGUUUUCGUUCUCUCUUUUUGUCUCUGAGAUGGGAAUAAUAAGAUGACGAUGGAGAGAAGCUGUACAGGGGCCUCUAGUAGUACUACUGUACGCCUGUACCUCACCAACCCAGAUUUGAAGAACCCUAAUUUUUAUAAUUGUGAUGCCACGAUCCGUCCUCGCAUUUCUUUAUCUCUAUAGCUGAAGGUAGCAGCAAAAAGUUGACAUUCUUAUGCAACUCAUACCACACCACUAUGACACUAGCCAGCCAGCCACCUCCAUCCUUUAAUGAUUAUCCUUAUCCCUCUAGCUAGAUCUCUCAUUUAGUUUCACACUAAUGCAUGCAUGCCCUGAUAUGCAAGUAGUACGAUAGAGCAUCAGUGAAUGUACGGCCAAGAACCCCAAAAAUAUAAGGGUGACCCUUGGCUUCCUAUUUGGGCCAUUUUAUACAACUAUGCCGGCCGUUCCUUCACAAAGGCAGUGGCUAGGUAUUCUCUGCAAUAUCUGCAUAUAUGAGAUCGUGCUCGCUCAUAGAUAUCCCAACGAAUAUAUACACGUAUAUAUAUAUAUAUUAUAUAUAAUAUAUAUAUAUUGAAUUAUAAAUAAGAGAAAAUUAGAUUAAAACCCAAAAUACUAGACCUCUUUUAAGAUAAACUCAUACAUAUUUUUCUUUCAUUUUACACCCACUCCACAUAAGCAAACUUACUAUAUAGAGCAUAUGUCUAUAAUUAAUAGUUUUCUUCAUUUUUUUAGUUUCUCUGAUUUGCCCUUCAGAUGAUAUAAAGCUAAAUUUGGUAUAUUUCUCAAUUUUAGCAUCAAUUUGAAACUCAAAUAUUGAGCUAAAAUUUAGUUGGAUUUAACUUUAUCAUAAUCAAUUACAUUCUUUAAUUUUUUACCUUUGUUAUUUACUAACUUGAGUGUAUAUAUAUGUUAUAUAUAGAAGUAUGUCAUUUGUAAUAGAAUGAUUCUUUUCAUUCUUAAGCUCACAUUUGGUGUCUCUCUACAUAGUCGAAAAAUGUCUGAUUGUAAGGUACACGUUCUUGUUCUUUGAUUAAUUUUCUUCUUUUUAGGUAUAUUAUUAUAUCAUUUCUCAUCUUGAUCGAGAGAAUAUUUACAUUUCUAAUGUACCUACUAAUAUACUUAUUAAGUAGGACAUGAUAUGAUAAUAUACCUAAAAAGAAGAAACCCAAAAUUGGGUAUAGGGUAUAGGGUUUAGGGUUUAGGAUAUAGGGUUUAGGGUUUAGGGUAUAGGGUAUAGGGUUUAGGGUUUAGGGCUUAGGGCUUAGGGCUUAGGGCUUAGGGCUUAGGGCUUAGGGCUUACGGUAACACUAUAAUUUCUUCUUUCUACUCAAAUAAUCAGAUAUCUUAUUUAUAUUAUAUUUUACCUUAUGUAUAGAUCAUAGAAUGUAUUCAUUUCACCUAGAUUUUUUCAUAAAAAUAAAGAAAACAACAUGAUUCUUGCAAAUUAAUUGAAAAAUGUUAGUGUUAAAAGAAAAACUUAUAAUCAAGGUAUUUAAGAAAACAUCAAUUAAGCUUAUUUAUUAUGUUUAUAUGUUAUAGUUGAAUGGUGACAAUAGUGUAAAAUUUAGAAAAAAUAGGAUAUAAUAUGUAUCAUAAUUGAUACAUUUUAGAUGUCUAUCAGAAAAGAAUAUUAUGUGGGUUUUAUUUAAAACCACUCUUCAAAAUUAGGUGUAUGUGAAAAUCCCCCUAUAAAUAAUUACUUCUGAAUCAACUGAAAUUAGUUUUCUUCUAUAUAAAUUGAAAUUUCAUACUUUCAUACAUAAGGAAUCAAACUUUACAUUUGUCGAUCUUUCUUGGGGUGUUUGCUCGGCACUUAUUUGUUUCUUCUGUUGAAUAUUAUUAUUUUUGGAUCUUAAAAUCAGACUUUUAAUCCAACAAAAUUUCACCCCUAAUUUAAAGCUUAAUGCAUGUACGUGUUAAUAUAUUUAACCAAAACAGAUGCAGUAUUUGCUAAACAUGUACUCGGAUUUCUUGGAUGUAGUCUGGUCUAACCUUAUGUCGACUCAGAAAUAACAAUUUGGACUAAAUUAAAGGCAACAACAUACACAUCAAUACUUUAGGGACCUCAUUUGUAUGGCAUGAGUCUGCCUUUCGCCGUCGAUGUGCGUUGUGUUGUUUUGGCCGGACGCGUCAUUAUGCGAGAGGGAGAUGACACUUUUUUAUUAUCUCUAAUGAUAAACUUAGAAAUUUCCAUAUUUUUAAAUCACCAUCAAUAUUACGUAUAUUGGGUCUGUAUUUUAUUCCUUGAAACAAAAGAAAUAAUGGAACUCCUAUGAUCAGACAUGAUCAUAUUCUUGGAUUGUAGCUUAUGAUUUCCAUGAAAUUAACACAUAUAUGCAAACAUUUGUAUAUAACUUUCUCUCUAUGCAUGUUUCCUUUUCAUGAAUUGGAAGCGAAUCCAUAUAGAGAAAGGAGGUCCCAAUUGGAUAAAUCCCUCUAGGUAUAUAUGGUGUGUAUGUCUUGUGUGUGUGUCUAUAUGUGCUGAGCUUCAUUCAGGCACGGAACCAGGGGUAGGGUAAGGUAUGCUGCAGCCUACCCCCAAUUUUUAGACUGGCAAAAAUUCAAUAUUUAUACAUGCUAUAACAAGCUGCCUUAAAAAGGACGGUCUCCCUCUAUAUACAUCGAAGCCUUGCUACUAACAUGCAUUGAAAAAACAAAAAAACUUCUACGUACUACUCAAAGUUCUCUAUUCUCUUAUACCACCAAAGGAGUCGAUAUAUUCUUUAUGUUAUUGCUAAGUUCAGUAGAACAAUAAACAACUCGUUAACUUUUGUCUCUAUACAUCAAUAAGUAAGACUUAAACCAAGAAACAUGCCCAUAUCAGAGCUCAGUAUGCUCAGAAGCUCCUUAUUUAGUUGUUUUGAUGUUUCUUUUUCUGAGUUGUGUUUUAGUGAUAGAUCAAUAUCAAAAUUUUACGCCAAGAAAGUUCUCAUAAAAUUAAAUCCAUAUUUUCAUAAAACUAUUGUCAUUAUGAGUAAUAUUCCAAGUUCAGAUUAACAAUAGCAUAAUAGAACCGUGUUUUAACAAGUGUUAUGUACUUGAGAUAUCCCAUCAUAUUAGAGUAGUCUCUGCUAAACUUUAAAGAAAUUUUUCCUUUGGCAACGUAAGAUAACUCUAGCCUACACCGAUUCUAAUUCUUGGUUCCGUUCCUGGGUUCCGUUCCUGGCUUCAUUCCUGUAAUGGUAAAAUUCCAUCGCAUAAAUAAAUAAAUGGUUUAUUCUAGUAGUGCUGUAGUGAACAUCCUCUCAUUGACACUUUGGGUACCUAAGCUGGAGAGAAUAUCGACCUUUUCUGAGUGUUAUACGUACGACCCAUGGCUGCAUAUGCAUUGCCCUUGUAUGCAAGUAGUACAAUAGAGCAUCAGUGAACGUACGGUCAAGAACCCCAAAAAUAUAAGACCGACUCUUGGCCUCCCGUUCGGGCCAUUUUAUACAUCGAUCUAUGCCGCCAUGUCGGCCGUUCCUUCAGAAAGUACGUAUUCUGCAAUCUGCAUAUAUAAGAUCGAGCUCAUAUCCCAGAUCAGAAUAUAUACACGUAUAUAACCAGAUAUGGAUCAAUAUCACAUGCCAAUAUAUAUUCCUAUUGCAAAGCUGCUUUUCAAUUGAUGGGGAUCAAUAUUCAUGCACUCAACGAUCGAUGACAUAUAUAUCAUGCAUCAUCUAGAGUUUUCCGAGUCCAACUUAACUUUUAUGAAUUAUUUAGUAAUUACUUCUGAAUCAACUGAAAUUAUUUUUCUUCUAUAUAUAAAUUGAAAUUUCAUACAUAAUUAAGGAAUCAAACUGUACAUAUUAGUCGAUCGUUCUUUGAGUGUUUCUUCUGUGUAAAAUUUAUUAUUUUUGGAUCUUAAAAAUCAGACUUUGCAAUCCAACAUAAUUUCACCCCUAGCUAGUUUAAAGCUUAAUGCAUGUGUUAAUAUAUUUAACCAAAACAGAUCCAGUAGUGUUUGCUAAUCAUGUUAUCAUGUACUCGGAUUUCUUGAAUGAUGUAGUCUAGUCUAACCAUGUCGACUCAGAAAUAACUUCUUCUUUUUUUAAAUAAAUAAUUGCAUUUGUAGCUAGAUUUGGACUAAAUUAAAGGCAACUACAUACCUAUCUACAUGGUAAAUAUAGAGGAUAACUUUGGGGACCUCACCUCAUAUGUAUGGCAUGAGUCUGCCUUUCUCCGUCGAUGUGCGUAGUGUUGUUUUUGCCGGACGUGUCAUUGAGCGAGAUGGAGAUGACACUUCUUUAUUAUCUCCAAUGAUGAACCUAAAAAUUAAUUUUCACAUUGUCAAAUCACCGUUAGUAUUACGUAUAUUGGGUCUGUAUUAUAUUCCUUGAAACACAAGAAAUAAUUGAAACCCUAUGAACAAUCAUGAUCAUAUUCUUGGAUUGUAGCUUAUGAUUUCCAUGAAAUUAGCCACAAUAUGCAACAUUUGUAUAUAACUUUCUCUCUUCCCUUUUCAUGAAUUGGAAGCGAAUCCAUAUAGAAAAAGGAGGUCCCAAUUGGAUAAAGCCAACUAGCUAGCCUCUCCAACUCGAUCAUCGAUAUCCACCAGAUAUAUGCUGCAGGAUAAUGAUAGAUAUGCCAAGAACUUAAUGACCUCAAGUUAAGGCCUUGCUACAAGCUCACUACAAGAAAAAGAGAGAAAGAUCGAAAAGAAUGCACAUAUUUAGGCACAUAAAACAAGAUAUAUAAGAAGGUGAAUCGCCGUACAAAGGACACGUCUUUGUUAACUUCCGUAUGCAAAGAUGGAUGUGAAAUUAGUAAGCCUGAAAAGAUGGAAGUCUACAUAUAUGAAUAUUUGAAAGCAAGACUUCAGUGCGUAAGUACUAGUUGAAGGGAAAAGAACACGAUGAUUUGUAGAUUACAGAAUUCGCUAUACCAACUUAAACACGCUAUCAAACAAAUGAUAUCUAAGAUUUCCUUCGGUUUAAAUAUGUUUUAUUAGAUUAUAUGUCGGGGUGACAUUUCUUGGUUUUCAAUUUAAACUUUAAAGAAGUUCCUCUCAGAUAUCGGGGCAAAACAAGUUAAAUAGGAACUAGGAAGUUAAUUAACUUAAUUAAUUAGUUACGUGUACUGCAUGAUAGGUUUCUAAGCCAUAAUUACUAAUUGUUAAGUAGCUCCAGUUCACACAUAUGAGAUUUGCCUCAUCCCUUUCGAUCUUCCGAUCAUGCGUCUUAAUUUUUUCUUUCAGUGAGAGCUUGAGAAUCUGUACAGGCCGUCUGUACCUCACGCCCUCACCAAACCAGAAAAACCCUAAUAAUCUUAGAUUGUGAUGCCACGAUCCGUCCUCGCAUUCUUUAUCUGUAAAUUAAGCUAAAAAGUUGACAUUCGAUAUAUCAUUCUUUUUCCAACUUACACUAUGACACUAGCUUACCUCCUUUACACUAUGACACUAUCCCUCUCUUAUCAGCUGGUUCUUACGGUGCAGGAGCCUUACUGAAAGCCUUUCCAAUCUCUAGCUUCUCCCAGUUGGGGUCAUUUUAAAUCAAUCCCUGGGGAGAUAGAACUCCCCAAAGCAUUUUGCAGAGAUCUUCUGUGUACAGUUGUGGCCAAUAUUCGAAAAGUGGUGAUGCAAAGCUGGAAAAUAAAUAAAAUUAGGGGAUUUCCAGUUGAUGGGGAAUAUAGUCCUGCAGUCUUUUCCAUCGAAAUAUAUGACUUAAACCCUAGAGUAUUAAGAAUAGGCAAUUGACAGGAAAAGAUAUAAUGAUAGAUAAAGGAUGACUUGGGUCUUAUUGGCACCGAUCUGCUCCUUUCGAUUUCUAUGUAAGACGCAAAGAGGGUGUUGUCUCCGGAACGUGUCAUCGACAUGGCUUCUCUAGCUAUAGCUUAUAUAUUCAAUAUUUUCUUAGAUUAUUGAAAAUUUUCUCUUUACAAAACAUAAUCAAGAAUUCGAUCAAUAUAAAUAGCUAGCUAGUUCUGCUAUCAAUAGCAGUAUAUAGGAUGUAAUACAGUGUACAUACACAUGCAAUUUUCGAUCUGUUUUCAAGCGUUUUGCUUUGUGUCCUUUUCAUAUUGGAUUUGAUCCAAGAAGGAAAAGGAGGUCCCAAUUGGAUAAAUCCAACUAUUCUCUCCGACUCAGAAAAUAUUCUAGCUGCAGAAUAGCUAUAGAUACAAAAUGAAACACCUGCAGAUCUAUAUAUGAUCAUAUCAAAUUUUCAUGAGCACAAAUUUAUUAAGUAUUAAUGAUUACUAAUGGAAUACUAACCUAAAUUUACUUGAUUCGUCUGAUUAUUAUUAUUUUUUAUUUUUUUAUUUUUUAUUUUUUUUACGAUACUAAGCAUAUCGAAAUAAGCAUGCGAAUCGUUUUCCUCGUUACCAACAGAAAUGAAGCAGUUGUCUCUAUAUAGAUAAGUGAUGUAAAAUAAUAAGCCACACAACACCAAAAUGAGAAACAAAAACGAAGAACAAAAUGCAUAUCUAGGAUAAGAAUUUAUGUGAAGCCGUACCAAGGACACGUCUCUAUAUAUCCGUAUGUUGAAAUUCGACAACGUGCAUUCAACUUUGAUUCUCUUAGCUAGUGCAACUUUUGGAUAGCUUUCUAGAAAUGAUCGAUCGAGUUUGUGUAAUGACAAAAUCAAAUCGAACAUUCUUAUUUUCCUUCUCUAUCAAAACCGUACCCUUUAACUUUUAGACAAUGCCAAUCAACUCUCCCCCAUCUCCUAUAUAUACACUUCCAUGGCACUCCAUAACUUACAAACACAUCAAACACCUCACCAAUACACAUUCAUCUGAAAGCUCUACUUUCCUCUGAAUCUAAACACAUUUCACUUACCAAUUAGCAUACACUUCGCCUUCGAGUCAUUACAUUUUCGCCUUGUUUACUGGAAGAAAGCUGCUAGCUAGCAAUGGAGGCGGUGACAAAGAUGGCGUCCGAGAGACCGGUGGUGAUUUUCAGCAAGAGCUCAUGCUGCAUGAGCCACUCAAUCAAGACAUUGCUUUCCGACUUUGGGGUGAACCCAGCAGUGUAUGAGCUUGAUGAGAUGCAAAGAGGGAGAGAAAUAGAGCAAGCUCUGUUGAGGCUCGGAUGCAGCCCAUCUGUGCCGGCUGUGUUCAUUGGUGGCGAAUUUGUUGGCGGAGCCAAUGAAGUGAUGAGUCUUCAUCUUAAGCGCUCCUUAAUCCCCAUGCUUAAGCGCGUCGGUGCAUUAUGGGUUUGAUCAAUCUCAUCAUCAAGAAAACCAAGUACCUGCAUGACAAGCACGCUAAUAAGAAUGCUAGCUAUGCACAAGAGAUAUAAGAUAUAGAGAAAGUGAGAGUUCUGUUUUCAAAAUAAGGGUAACUAUAGCUACUUGAUUAGUACUAAGUACUACUCUUAAUGGCUGUUUUGUAACACAUGUAAGGCCUGGUGUUAUUUUCUGAAACACCAUGACGUACAAUUGUGUUAAACACAUUAUAAUAUAAUAUUAUUGGUGAUUUGGUUAUUAGCAAUAUGCAAUGAUGAGUUGUGAAGAGAUAUCACAGUUUCUCCAAUUCCAAAUGAGAUGGGUGCAAUGACUGAAAUUAAUCCUAGUAUUUCAACCGGAAUUCCAUAAAGAAUAACACAACCAUCCUCCUAUCAUCAAUGACUGAAAUUAACAAAACUGAAAAAUCCAGAAGACCCGACAAAUCCCUAUAUAUUCAAGAGUUAAGAAUAUUGUGUUGUGAUGGUGCAUUACUUGUGAUAGAAUUUUGGACUCUAUUUAAUUAGUAACAGUUGAGAAUCUAAAUUUUAUUUGAGCCAACAUACUACUCUAGCUAGGUUUUCAUACUUGGACUUACUAGCCUUUUGUCAAAUUAAGUUGUUUUAAUUCUGCCACUCAUCCUUCCAAACUGAAACACUGAUAACUUCGAAAUAUUGAGCUUUGGGCCUUUACCCAUGUUGGUAAAAACAAAAAAUAGAUGGAGAGUUAAAAUCUUUAUUAUCUUCUUGGUAAAUUCGUAAUUUCUCUUCGCGAGGAUAACAUCCUAAUACUGGUAAUCAAACAACUAGCUAAUAUUGGUUCACGUGUGGUGAAAUUAUGCAUAAAAUUAAAAUCUCAACAAUUAUGCAAAAAAAUUGGCAUGAUUCACAUUUCGAAAAUCUAAAUAACUGUUGAGAAUACUCUUCACAUUCGCAUGCAUGAUUUUCAUGUCCGGUUAGUUGCAUAUACCUUCAUAUAUACUGUAGUACGUAAUUGUCUAAUUGAGUAGGAGAUAACCGUGUUCUAGCUAGGGUCAUGGAACCCCAAGACGAUGCUGACCCUUGGCCACCUCGUUAGGCCAGCUAAACUCUUGGUGAUGAAUUGAAUUCCCUAAAGCAUUUUGAUCAAGACUUCUCACAAAGAAUAUAUAUGUAUACGCAUAUAUAGAUACACUAGCACAAUAUACUAGCACAGAAACGCAUGCAUUAAUUUGACAUGAACGAAAUUAGAUAUAGAGGGUAAAUCGGGGGACCUCAUGCAUUUGGCAAUAUUGAUCUGCCUUUCUCAUUCCAUGUACGACGAAUUGUCUUUUGGUCUAGAACGUGUCAUCAAAUCAGUGACAGGAAGGUACCUUAGCUCAUGUAUACAGACACAGUAUAGGUGUUCUAAUUUACAAAACCUUUUUUCGAUGGUGCUAAUUUACAAAACCUUACCAUUCCUUAGGUUUGAGCUCUUCUAUAAUAUGCAUUCUCUAUUUUCCAUCUCGCUUUCUGUUCACUUUUCAUUAGUUGGAUGCGAAUCCUAGAAAAAGGAGGUCCCAUUUGGAUAAAUCCAACUAUUGUUUCCGACUCAGUAGAUAGCAGCUAGCAGCAGAUCGAAUAGAAAGAUCGAUAAGCCCAAAAAAAUCCACUACCAACCAGGCCAUUAUCGAAAAUGAGCCACCUGCAGAUCUUACAUAGGAAGAAAGCUAAGGAGAAAGCAAUUAUAGAUCGAGAAACAUAUGUUAAGAGAUAAGAUUGUGAAGCCGUACAAAGGAAACGUCUCUAUUCAUUUCCGUAUGCAAAUAUGCGACAAUGUGCAGGAUGAUGCUGUCCCAAGUUUGAUUCUCCUCAGUGCUACUUUUGCAGAGUAGUCAAUUAGAUCGAUCAAUCAAAAUAUGUGUGAAAUCAAAUAUCUAAUCCAACAUUCUUACUUCACUAUCACAAGCCCUUUAACGUGCUUCUAUCUGUUUGUGGCUACAAAUUGCAAUGCCCAAUCCAUGCACUCCCACCCAUCACCUAUAUAAACACCUCCUUUACACCCCAAAGCUCACAAACAAAUCAAACCCUCAUCACUCUUUACGUUCCUCACAAACCUCCAAUCGAUCUCUAUUUCCUCUAAUUUACUUGAGCACCUUUCACGAUUCAUCAGACCCUAAAGGUGACAUUGCAUACGUUUUGCGUAUCGUUACCUCGUUGCUUUGUUCACAUUGUCUUGACAUUUCACAAUGGAGGUGGUGACAAAGUUGGCUUCCGAGAGACCUGUGGUGAUCUUUAGCAAGAGCUCAUGCUGCAUGUCCUACACCAUCAAGACCUUGUUUUGUGAUUUUGGGGUCAACCCAGCAGUGCAUGAGCUUGAUGAGAUGCAAAGAGGGAAAGAAAUAGAGCAAGCUCUGUUGAGGCUCCGGUGCAGCCCAUCUGUUCCGGCUGUGUUCAUUGGUGGUGAAUUUGUUGGCGGAGCCAAUGAAGUCAUGAGUCUUCAUCUUAAACGCUCCUUAAUCCCCAUGCUUAAGCGCGUUGGCGCAUUAUGGGUUUGAUCAAUCAAACCAUCAAGUUAACUAAGUAUACUUGUAUGACAAGCAAGCUAUUAAGAAUAUUAAUUAGAUAUGCACGAGAGAUGUAAGUGACGGAUUGAUAAUAAUAUAUAUGACAUAAUAUGUGAGAGUAGUUCAUAUAUCAAUAAGAGUCCAAGACUACAUAGGUUUUUUGUAAUCCUAUGAUAGUGUUGUUUUAUCAAAGACGUUGUGUUCAAUUCGAUCGGUGUAUAUAAUGUAUUGGUAUUUUUUAAGUAAAUGGUAAACGACUUAUAUACCAUAAGAGCUGUAUAUAUAUGUACCAUGUACGUCUUAAUUAUAUAUUAGCUAGGUUAGCAGCAGCCAGCAAAUGCAAUAUUCAAUCUGGUCGAUGAGUUAUAUGCAUGAAGAUAUAUAGAGGUUAUAGUGUGUUGUUCCAAUUUACCAUUGAGAUAGAUACAGCCUCAGAAUUUGAACUGAAACCCCAAAUUUGAGCGAAAAAACUUCAUUAUGUAUAGGUCUUCUAGGAUUUGAGGUCAGUGCAUGCAUGAGCUGUGGUAGACAGUAGUAGAUUUCGUUUUUUUCUUUUUUCGUUCUAAUGGACGCUAUUUUAUUGCUUCAAUUAAAGACUUUCUAAGUUCCAACCUCUACGAGUACUCGAGCAUUUUCAAACUAAACCUUGCUGCUGCAAUUAAAUAUUAUUAGAGACAUGCAUAUGACAUAGUAGUGAUAGUUAGCUAGGCAAUUUUUGAAAAAAAAACAGGUUAGUCAACAGUUUAAACUGAAAGAACAUAUUAGGGAAUCAAAUAAUAAGAUAUAUAACUGACUAUUUUCCUUCCAUGUUAUUUGAAAAGCCUUACAAAUGUUCUUUUACAAUGCAAAAUACAUUCCACAUUCUCGAUACCCACAUGCAUUCUUAUACGGGGAUAUAUAUUCCAAGUCAUAGACGUUACGUGAACAACUUAUAUUAGGUGACAUUGAACAAGCUAGUGUGACGCUCUUUGGCAAUUACUAUUUGAUACCAUGAGAGCAUCAUAUCUAAAACUAGUUUAACAAUAGCUAGGUAGAGCUCUUAUAACCUAGGCAAAUUAACUAUAUUUCAAAAUUAGUUGUGUUUCAAUAUGAAGUACAUGUGUUGCAGCAUUUCACAUUCUCAGCAUAUGCAUGAUCCGUUUCACUCCUGGAACCGUGAUUUAGGGUCAAGGAACCCUAAAGUGCUGACCCUUGGCCGCCCAGUUGGGCCAUUUUAUAUCUUUUGGUGGUCAAUAUAUCGAAUUUACUAAAGUAUUUUCCAACGACACAUCUUAACAAAGAAUAUGUAUACGGUAUACCCAUACAUACAGUACGUAGUACAGGAAGGCUAGCAAUUGACACGGCAAGAUAUAGAGGAUAAAUUGGGGGACCUCACAGAUAUGGGCACUGAUCUACCUUUGUCAUUCCAUGUACGAGAUUUAUCUUCUGCUCUGGAUUUUGUCAUCAAAAGUGAGGGUUUCUUAAAACUCAUGUACAUACGUACAUAUAUUUGCACUUAUGCUUUCAGAUCCGUUCAGAUAUACAAAACCUAACUUCCAUAGGUUCGAUCCCACUGCAUGUAUGUAUGCUUGUGCAAUUCUCUAUUUUCAACAGCUUGCUUUCUGUUUCCUUCUGGAGAAUUGAUGCGAAUCCAGUAGAUAGAAAAAGAAGAGGUCCCAGUUGGAUAAAUCCAACUAAUGUUUCCAACUCAGUAGAUAGCAGCGGAUCGAAUAGAGAGACUGAUCGAUACGAUAGAAAUUCCAUAUAAACACUAUCAUCGUUGACAAUGAUCGAGACACCUGCAGAUCUACUUUGGAAGAAAUGAUAAACCAGUUACAGAAAUGUGAUGGAAACAAGUUAAGAUAAGAAUGUGAAGCCGUACAAAGGACAUGUCUCUAUUCAUUUCCGUAUGAUAUGCAAAAGAUUCUACAAUGUGUGCAUGCAUAAUGCAGUCCAUUCAAGAGUUUUAUUCUCCUUUAUAUAUGCAACUUUUGUAGAGUAGUCAAGUAAUUAAUUAUCGAUCACAAUAUCUAAUCAAACAUUCUUAUUUUCCUUACUUUCAAAACCGCUUAAACUAGCUUCUAUCUGUACGUUGUAGCCCCUGCAUUCCCAUCUCCUAUAAUAAACACCUCCAUCAUACCCCAAAGAUACAAACGUAUUAAACCUCGAUCAUCACUCUCUCACAAACCUCCAUUCUCUUAUCUCUAUUUCCUCUAACUUAGCUGCACCUUUCACGAUUUAUCAAAACCUAAGAGUGACGCCAUUACAUACACUUGCCUUUUAUCGUUGGCUUAUUGCAUGCUUUGUUGAUACAUUGUCGAUCUUGCUCUUUAAACACCUCCCUUAGUCUCUUACACCCCAAAACUCACACACACACACACACACACACACACAAAAAUCAAAUCUCAUCACUCUUUUAACCCUAAACCCUUUACGUUCCUCACAAACCUGUAAUUAAUCUCUCUUUCCUCUAACUUAGCUUAGCACCUUUCACGAUUCAUAAAACCCUAAAGGUGGAAUUGCAUACACUUCGCUAAUCGUUGUUAAAAAACUGGCAUAAUAAAAAAUUUGAUAGCUUGAUGAAUGAAAAACUACAUAUCCUCAAAUCAAGGAAAGCAAGAAAAGGAGAAGAGAGAACAAUGUUUUAUAAUUCUGGUUAUUGAUACAAAAACUUUAUUAGCUUGAAAAGAAAAGGUACGGUACAAGUGAGGUAGAUAUAUAGAGCUGGUAAGCAGUGGAGUUUGACUUGUUCUCCAAGUUGAUAAAUAUAAACUGGACUGCGGAUAUGGACUGGGCCUAUACUCUUAAUACCCGCCCUCAAACUAGUGUUUGGGGUAGGGCUGGGCAUGAGAUGGGAUAUAGCUAAUCCCAUAGCCCUCCCGGACAUUAAAAUCGGGACGGAAUAGGACGAGUUUUGCCUUUUUUAGAUUUCAUCACACCCGAGCCCUAUUUCGGUCAGGACGGGACAAGAUAGGAUGAGACGGGCCCAGUUCUGGAUAAAAAAAGUUGAAAAUAAACUUGUAAGCAAAAGAAAGAGUUUCAUAUUUUCAUAGUGCUCUCUACUCUAUUAAGUAUUAACAAGUACUUACAACAUAUUUACAAGUGCAACACGAUGUAAUAAGAGAGUUUACACUGUUUACUUUCUCUAAACCUGUCAUCACUGCUAGGGUGCAAGAAAAGAGUCUACAACAAUCAACAAAUUAAAGUAUUAAACAUCACUAUUAUUGAAUUAAGGAUAACCUAAUAACUUAAAUAAACAAAGGGCUAAGAUCAAAACACUUAAAUGAAAGGCUCAAAUUAUAUCUUAAUCAAUAAAAAAUCAAUCAUUAAAAUAGUCAGGACAGAAUGGGCCUAAACGGGACUUAAAUUAUUUGUCUCGUGUCUCGUUCCGUUGUAUAGGGACGGGACGGGACAAAACAUGCCUGACGUUUUGAGAUUUAAAUCUCGUCCCGUCCCGACAAAUUUCGGGACGGGUUCAGGAUUACUGGAUUUUAUGCCCACCCCUAAUUUGGGGAGCCAAGAACUGGUUUGCAGCAGAGUUCUUUUGGAAACAAUAUAUCAACCUGGAGGAAUUUGAGGAUGAGAUCGCCGCAAACUCAUAAACACACAGGCUUGCUUACAAUCUGUUUGACGAUUGUUCAACAACUUAAAAUAAUUCAAAUUCGGCAUCCCAUCACGAUCUCUAACAGUAUGAAUUAUUUUCCAUUCGUGUGAUACCUUCGUUGAAGUGAUAACUCUUGACCGAGAAACAAUUUUAUUUGACAGGGCAAGACAUAGACUUGAUAAUAAAGCAUCACUGGAGGGUGGCACAUGUUGAGUAGAUAUGGAAGCAGACAAAGUCGUAGGUGAUAUGAAAGUUAUUGGUUUUGUUUCUAAACUUGCUUCAAAUGUUUUGAGUGGCCUGACUCUUCCCCUGUGAAACUUCCCAGAUUCUGCUACAUAUAUAUAUACUAUCCUGGAGCUUUAUAUAUACAUUCUAUUUGUUCCUGUGAUAGUAAGAGUGAAGGCUUGGCCACAUAUGAUGGAUCUGUCAGUACUGGAGUAGUAACACAAGGCUCAAUAACAUGAGCAGAGGAGUAUUCCUUGAGAUCAUCCAUUUCAAGAGUCAGAGAACCAGCACAAUAACCAUCACAUUCAGUAUCAGAAGGAGGUUGAGAAGCGUUGUCACUAUUUUAUGGAACAAAACCUAAUGGAGUUGGUGAGUUAGCUGAUAUGGGUGGUACAACCAUACCACUGCUAGCAGUCAUAUUGUUAUGUGGUGAAACUAAAAUCCAUAUUGUGUGGUUGCAGGGGAAGCAUUAUACUGAUGCACAUUAGUAAAAUCAGAAGAGGCAAAUAGAUUGAUCCCAUUUUGAGUGACACCAUGAUUACCAACAGAAGAAAGCAUAUUAGACUGAAUAUAUCUAUAAACCACAAUUUUGUGACACGACAUUUUGAUUCAUAGACUUGCCAAUAUGACGUGCAUAACUACUAUAAGCUUGAGAAUUUGAAAAAUACUUUCCACUCCCAGACUAUAACCAUAGGGAUUACACAUUCUAGGAUUUUGAGCAGCAACAUAUGUUAGCAUGCAAGAUGACACAUGAUUCCCAUUCAUUUAGCUACAAUUAUACAAACCUUGAUUUUGAGGAAUGCUAGGCAUGCUAAACUGAACAUUUUUAGAUGCAGGACAAACUGAACCACAUUGAGCUAACCUUGCAGUUAAAGAGGAUAAAAAAUAUGUCUUGUUUUUCAACUCAAUCUUUUUAAUAGGAAUUAUAGAUUUAUUGAAAUGGAAAUGGAAAUGCAAAACUUGUUAAAGUAGAGAGCAAGAACACUUUAGAGUCUAAAUUAUGGCUAUUCUCAUUAAUUGCAAAUUGAAAGUUAGAAGAGAUUAUAUAGUUAUGGAUUAUAGCAAAAUGAUCAGAACCAAAUUACCUUGCUAUAUAUACUACUCCUGACCAAAAAUGUUCUUAUUAACAACUUGAAAAGAUUAAAACAUGGAUAAUUUUGAUGUGAGUCAAGAUGUGUGGAUUAUAUUUGCAUCUCCAGCAGUAUUGAUAAAUUGAAAAAAAUUAGAGAUUUAUCAAUUUUUAAAUGAAUCUUUGCUCCAGCAGUAUACUUAAGAAAUUGAUAAAUUUGGAAAUUGAUAGAGAAAAUUGAUAAAUUUAUCAAUCUUUUAGAGACAAUUAACUAAAACUUAGCUAAUGUAUACAAUUUAGCAAUACUGCUGGAGCAAAAUUUCAAAAAUUAAUGUUGUAAAUCUAAAUGUUGACAAAUUUAACAAUAAAUUUAAUUGUAUUGCUGGAGAUGCUUGUGACAAUUUCACUCCUCUUAAACUUACAUGCGUUAAUAUUUUUUAUUUUUUAUUUUAUUUUUAUUUUUAUUUUUUAAGAAAGGUGCUAAUGUUAGAAGCUAGCUUUAAAAAGUGCUGAUUUGGAAUCAAGAGCAAAGUCCAUAACAGCUUAUCUAGUUAUCUCCUUAGUAUCACUAACAGCUGUCCAAAGUUUGUCCCCUGCAUGUAGCCAACAAGAUUCAUUUGAAGAGAAACGUGGAUAACACAGCGAUUUGAUCUCUCCGUUCCCAACACUUGUUAGUUGUUACACAUAUUUACAAAUCCUGCCGCAGCCAAUAAAUGUCUCCUCUCCUCUUCUACCUCGAAUGUUUAAACCCCGCUCUCUCUCUAACCCAUUCAGAACUCCCACCUAUUAUUUUUCUUACUGUUGCAGUAGUUUUCAUUUUCUAGUUUUAAUGAACAGUAAAACCGAAAAAAUUGGUGAAAUUUCCUACAAUGCAUUACAAGACAACCUCAGCUUCUACUUGCACUAGUUUCAGGCUUCCAGCUCACUCUAGCUAACUGGGUCGCUCGUGAUUCUCUCCCUCUCUCAGUCUUCUCAGUUUCCUUGGUUUUCUCGGCCACCAAAGUUUAAGGUAAGGAGAACUGCUCCUACCCACUUAAAAUCUGGUUUUUCUGUCCUCACUGCUUCAAUAAUUUCAUGGGUUUGUGGUUCUUAUGCUAAAGAAUGUACCUUUGUGUCUGAAAGUUAAGGAAUUUGAGUUUGAGGUUUAGGCUAAGGAAGCUAACGUUUGUGGUUGUUUAGGGUAACUGAGACCUCACUGGUGCAGUUGAAGUUGUUGGUUGACCAAAAUGUUCGGUUUUUCUCGCAAACGCAUGAAGAUUGGACGGUGAGCUUGUCUUGUUUGAGCUAUAAAGUUUUCGUUUUUAUUUAUUAUUGUUGCUACUAGAAAAUGUUGCAUGCCCUUUGUUGAUUUUGUGAGUCCAAUCUUCUCUAUCAGUGAAUUUUGGUAAUUCGUAUGUAAUUUAUACAAUGUCAGUUAGUGGAAGUUGAAAUUUUGAUAUAAAUUAUGAUGAAGGAUUUAUAGAAUGAGAUUGUGAUAAAAGUUGUAAUGAUUGUGUUGACUUAGAUUGAAAGUCCAGCUCUCAGAUUCUACUCAGGGAACUAGAAGCCCCAUAAGACAGCCGAAACGAAAUAACAGCUCCAAUGUAAGGCUCUUAAUAGCUUGUUUUGUGUAUGGGUUUAGUUUCAAAUGUCAAUGAUUCCCUGCUCUGAGCUGAGCUCAUUUUGAUUUUGGCAGAAUGACUCUGAUGCGCCAGCAAGUAGUCUUUCUGAUGAGCUUGAUUGCCAGUGUCCUUCUGCUCCUGAGAUUAGUAAUUCCACAAUGGGGAGCUCCGAGAAUUGGAUGGUGUUGUCGAUUUCUGGAGACAAGCCUAAGCCCCGAUUCAAUGUAAAAUUUAUAUGGUAAACGGGUUCGGUUUAUUUGUGUCUGUGGUGGUGUCGGUAGCUAAACCUUCGUUUUUCUUUUCCAAAAACAGCAUGCGGCGGCUGUAAUUGGGAAUAAGAUGAUAGUGGUUGGUGGUGAAUCAGGGAGUGAACUGCUAGACGAUGUACAGGUAGGAUAAUGAUUCUGUCAUUUAUUUGAUAUCAAGUAGAUAUCGGCUUUUAUUAGAUAACUACAUUAGUGCAUAUUCAUGCUGAAAAUCACUAAGCUGCCAUUUCCAUUUUCAGGUGCUCAAUUUUGACAGUUUUACAUGGACCACAGCGUUGUCAAAGCUUUACUUGUCACCAAGCAGUCUGCCCUUAAAGAUCCCUGCAUGCAAGGGCCACAAACUGGUACAAUCUUAUUGUUAUCUUAUGUUUGGUAUGCAUUUCCAUAUGGGGUAGAGUUUCUUCCUCUAGAAGACAUUGGAUAUCAAGAUGCCUACAGGUUGGAAUGUAUAGCUAGGAUUUGUAGGAAGCUAGCUAUGAACUUGAAAGAAUACCAUAAAUACGUUUGCAUUUUUUUUUGCUGUAGACUUGGACUAAAGUAGGUUUCUAUAUCAUAACUUAGGUCUAGGUAAAUCAGGUUGGUUUACCUUUGAAAGUUAUACUCUUUCUUAUCUAGGUUUCCUGGGGGAAAAAGGCACUCCUGGUUGGAGGAAAGACUGAACCUGGGAGUGACAAAAUUUCAGGUUAACAUUCCCGUCUUUAAAGCUUAUGAAGUAUUUGCUUUUGGUUUGUACGUAUAUGAAAUUAUUUCAGUUCUUUCAUUUAUGCAGUUUGGGCAUUUGACACUGAGACAGAAUGCUGGUCUCAUAUGGAAGCAAAGGGUGAUAUACCGGUACUUUUUCUUUCUCUUCUUUUCUCCAAUGAACUGGUGUUUUGACUUGGACCUUACAGUUGUAGAAAUUAUAACCUGACUGCUCAAGUUUUGAUUCUGGUACCAAUUCGUUAAGAAAUUAAGAAACUGUUCAUCACCCUAGAUUAUCCUUGACUAUCUUGCCUGGAACUUAAAAUCAGUCAUUUAAUGAAAAUUUUGCUGAGUAUUGAAAUAUAUUGAUUGGUAGUCUUUCCUCAUAUUUAUACACUGCAGGUUGCUCGUACCGGUCACACUGUAGUCAGGGCAAGUUCUGUAUUGAUCCUUUUUGGUGGUGAAGAUGCUAAAAGAAAAAAACUGCAUGAUCUACAUAUGUUUGAUCUGAAGUCAUUGACAUGGCUACCUCUUCAUUGCACGUGAGUGAUUUUAGCCAUGCUGUGUGUGAUUCUCUGAUGAAACCCGAAUAUAACAAUCGCACCUCUUUUCUGGUUUCUUCUUAUUUGGUUGAGACCUUUCCUCUUUACAUGGCCUUAAAAAUGUUAACCUUUCUUUUUAUGUCGUUCUAAAUGUCUUAAUUGAUAUACAUUCAGAGGAACGGGACCAUCUCCGAGGUCCAACCAUGUGGCAGCUCUUUAUGAUGACAAAACUCUUUUUGUAUUUGGAGGCACAUCAAAAUCCAAGACUUUGAAUGAUUUGUAUUCACUUGACUUUGAAACGGUGAGUGAAUGCUCUGUAAUUCUUACACUUCCUAUAAAACUGGGCUGUGUGGUCAAACAUAUCAACUCUUUGUAGUUGAGAAUUAAACUCUUAUUUUGUGAUAUACUGAUGGGCUUUUUUCUCAGAUGGUAUGGUCAAGAAUAAAAAAGCGAGGUUUCCAUCCAUCACCUAGAGCUGGUUGCUGUGGAGUCCUGUGUGGAACCAAAUGGUAUAUUGUUGGUGGUGGAAGCAGAAAAAAAAGUAAGCCUCGUAACUAAGACAUGGUUGAGCUUUUUGGAAUGUUUCUAUAAUGCCACGCACGAAAGUGCCCUCUAGACCUUGAAUUUCACUAAAGGAAAAAGAAAAGGAAUUUUUUGUACAAGCUUUCAACAAAAGAAAAAAAAUACAAGAAAUACAUUCUUGAAGUGAAGUGCAUAAUUUUGAUGUAGAAGCCCUUAUACUUUUUGGUUUCCUAAUCCUUUCCAGGACAUGCGGAGACUCUGAUCUUUGAUGUUUUGAAACUUGUGUGGUCGUUGGCCAUUGCAUCGCCUCCGUCUACAAUCACUACCAAUAAGGUAUGCAACAUUCACUUUUACAAAUAUAUCAGGGAGCAACAUAAUUGGUUGCACAUCCCAUGAUGGCAUGAACUUAAGCAUUUAAUCUUACCUUAACCAUUUUUCUUAUGUUGUAUUCUCAGGGUUUCAGCCUAGAGCAUGUGCAGCACAAAGAAAAGGAUUUUCUUGUUGCUUUUGGGGGAUCCAGAAAGGAGCCAUCAAAUCAGGUUCUUAAGAAAUCAUGUUUUUGUUUUAGUUGAUUCUUUUCUCUCAUUAGCCUUGUGCCUUAUUGCCCUCUGAUGUUUUGUGACAGGUUGAAGUACUAACCAUGGAAAAGAAUGAAUUAUCUACGAGUCGUCGAUCUUUUCCCAGCAAAGGACCUGGAACUUUGCUGCCUGAAAAACUCCCAUCAUCAAAUGGCUUGGCUAGUCAACUAACUAAUGGUUCUUCCCAGCGCUCAGUCAAUUCAGUUACUAGACAAAAUCUGGCAUCUGCAAUCGAACAACAUGGCUCUGGAAGAAAAUCCUUGUCAGAAUCCUUGCUUGUCGAUGCAAAUCCUGUUCCUGGUAACGUGUCACUUCGGAAACAAUUUCAUAAUGACGAAGAAUACAACACUGCUGUUAAGGUGACAAAGGGUUCAGAAGAUGAAAGUUCUCUCUUGCAGGUACACUGCAUUAAGUUUUAUUUAUUAUUGACUACCUCAUGAUCAAAAAAAUUCUGAAGUUUGAAGGAAAAAAAAAAGGGGAAAGAAUAAUGGAACUUGUCAUUUCAGAAAUUAUUCUGUUCCUUGUUGUUGUAGUUGACAUUAUGAUUUGAUGUUGUGUUGUGUUGAUUUCAGCCCUCGGAAAAGAAAAAUAGUCAAUCUGAAUCAGCAGUACAAACUAACAUUCAUGGAGGUAGACUUUACUCAGAGGACAUUCUCUCUGCAUAUGAGUUCGAAAACUCAAAUCACAACCAUGGACUUGGGAACUUUCCAGUUGACAACAAUGAUGCCUUAUUUCCAGAAAGUGAUGGAAAACCAGGAGCACUAUCAGCGCCUUCAAGUAUGUACCAAUAUUAUGAGAAACUAAUAAGAAAGAAUGGGGUUUUAGAAGGACAGUUGGCUGCUGCAUUGGCCAGUCGAGAAGCUGCAGAGAAAAACUUAUCCUCUGCUCUCAAGAGCCGACAGGAGAUUGAGAAAAAAUUAGCAGACUCUGGGAAGGAGAUAGAGUUGCUGAAGGACAAGCUAGCUGGUGUAGAACUUGCCCAAGAAGAGGCUAACAACCUCUCAAGUAUUGUUCAUUCCGACAAUGUGAGGCUUGAGCAUGAUGUGGCUUUCCUCAAGGCUGUUUUGGAUGAUACCCAGAAGGUAUUAUAUUUCUAAAUGCUGCAUUUUGAUGUAAUCAUCUUUGAGCCAAGAUAUAACUAUGUUACAUGAAAGAUUUGUUUUGACCCACCAAUUUUGGUUAUUGAAUAAUGAAUAUAGGAGCUGCAUUCAACUAGAGGAGUUCUAGCUGGAGAACGAGCAAGGGCAUUCCAGCUCCAGGUAUGGCUAUGAAUUAGGAUGAAAUUGGCUGGCUGUUUACAUUAAACACUUUGCAUCUGUUAUGGAAUCUUAAUCUGACUGUUUAUUCUGUGUAUCAGGUUGAAGUUUUUCAUCUUAAACAAAGACUACAAUCGAUGGAGAACCGAGCACCUACACCAAGAAAACCAUUCUAGGAUGAAAGAGUAAGUGAGCAAGGAGCAAGGAGCUGUUGAACAACUCCCACGGUGCAGCACCGCAUCAAACUUGAAGCCGCCUCAUUGGUAUGAAGAUCCUAUUGGCCUAUACCAUGUAUAUAAGUGAAGCCAUUGUACCUUAACUUGUAUGUUGAUAUGCUAGGCUAUUUUCCACAUCUACAUGAAACAGAAACGUUUGUUCUGAUUUGGCAAUGAGAAACUUAUGCUAUAUGUAGGUCACUAGCUUUCCCUUCCCUAUGCCCCAGAUAUUGUGGCCCUGGACAUCUUUCUUUCAGGAUCCUCCGUUUAUAGCGUCAAAUUGCUCUUUAGUUUUACACCUUCCAUCAUGCUUCAUGCCUACAGCAUCAAGCACUUGCCCUGUGCCCAACCUACCCGUAAAAUCCAGAAAUCCACGCUCAACAAACUGCCAUCCUUCAGACCAAAAAAAAAAAA